Molecule: long non-coding RNA, 80930 nt
Filed under: Capsicum annuum
Lineage: Eukaryota; Viridiplantae; Streptophyta; Magnoliopsida; Solanales; Solanaceae
Description: long non-coding RNA (CANN_LNC021975)
Source: RNAcentral
GAGGGAAGGGAGAACGGAGGGUCUUCGCCGAAGAAGGAGAGGGCGACGGCGACUGGUCGCACUGUUCGCCAGUAUGGUUGUCUUCAUUGGGCGUCGGAGGUGCGACAGAACUUGGCUAGGUGUUGGGGUUGAUAGUGGCGGAAAGAGAGAAACAGCUGCGGCGCCAUGGCUGGCGUUGCUGAUUUGGUCUCUUGCCGGUGAUGGCGACGGCGGAAGAGGGUAGUUGAUGGCGGCAUGGUGGUUGGAGGCAGCGCGGAUAGAUCAGAGAAGAGGGGGAGAUCGAGAUUUAGAGGGAUUUUGUGGAGAGAGAGGAGAGGGGAGAUAAAGAGAGAGUGUUGGAAGCGGAAGUUUUUAAAAAAUGACUAGGGUUUGGGAUAUUAGAUUCUUAAAAGAAAAUAGAUGGUCGAAAUCAUCUCUGUCGUUAGAUCAAUUUUGAUCAACAACUGGGAUUUAAAAUGGGGUUAACUCUUCAAUUUUGAUAUAUUUGUGACUAAAAUUGACACGAGCUGAAUUUUUGAUAUAUUUGUGACUAAAAUUGACACGAGCUGGAUUAAAAUUGGCUAGAUUUGUAAUAAAUUGGAUAGAAUGGACUAAAAUUAUAGUGACUUAGACAAAAAUUAGACUACAAGAUAAAUUAAUUGGCAAAGUAAUUGUAAUUUGGGUUUUUAUUUAAAUAAUAUAUAAAUAAUGAAUAAUAAUGAUAAUAAAUAAUAAUAAUAAAAAUAAUAACGAAAAUAAAUAAUGCUAAAUAAUGAAAAACUAGAUAAUGCAUUUGCGAAAAAUGUAAGUAUGCCCUGUUAUGUGAUUUCGAUUAGGCUGUUAUUUAAAUUCUAGUAGAGAUAAUAGAAGUAAAUAAAUAAUAUAUAAUAAUAAUAAAUAAUGAUAAUAAUAAUAAUAAAUAAUAUAUAUGAUAACCAUGUUAAUAAGAAGAAGAAUAAUGAUGCUACACUAGACAUGUAUUUGCAAAACGUGAGUGUGGCACGUUAAAAAUUUGUUUGAUACAAAAAAAUGUGUAAAAAAUACUAAAAUGUCAUCUAACAUAGCAUCAAACUUAAUUAACAAAUAGAACACAGUACACAUUCAUGUACACAAAGACCCCCCAAAAGAAAAUGGAUUAGAUGAUAACCAUGUCGCCGGUCGGUCUGUGAAGAGUACAGUGUACGCAGACCUUCUCGAAAACUUAUUCAAACUUGAAGAUUCUUGUAAAAUAAAACACAUCAUGUAGGAUUUUUGCAAAGAUGAGAGUAUGCAGGGUUACGAAGAAAAAAUAAUUUAAUAAAUCUUAAUAAAAUUACGUAAAAAUGUCGUGUUUGAAUGGAUAAAUAUUAUUAAACGAUAUUAAAAGAUAAUAAAAAUAAUUUGUGCACUUUUCUAAAUUAUAAAUGUGACUCUUCAUUAUGUAUUUAAUGUAAGGAUAAUGUGAAAAAUAGUAAUAUAGAAAUUUCAAAAAUUUUGAUAAAACAUCAGCUUAAGCAAUAGCGGGAGGUCAAAAUUGGGUGUCAACAGGGAGAAAAUGAGGAUAGAGUUUGAUAUUUUGUUUAAAAGGAGAGAUUGGUUAAUUUGAUCUCAGCCGUUAGAUCAACUUUGAUCAACGACUGAGAUUAAGACAUUUAAAAGUAGGUCAAUUAGAAUUUAAAUUAGGUUAAAAAAAUACUGAAUUGGAGAUUUCGAUUAAGUUAAUACAACGUAUUAAUAUGAUGAAUUGUCGUUUAAUUGUCUUUAUUAUUAUAACUUCAAUAAUGUAUUAUUACCUCGAUCAUAUGAUGUUAACGUAUUAUUCAAAAUAUUUGGAUAUAUAUAUUCAGUUAGCUAGCUUUUAACUAUAUACAUCACAUACACGAGUAUAUUACCUCGUAAUACAGCGUAUUUUAUUUCUACUCUGAUGAAUUAUUAAUUAAUUUAGCUUACAUUAUUAUAUUAUAAUUUCAAAAAUAUAUUAUUACCUUGAUCAAUCGAUCGUAUGCCAUCAAUGUAUUCAAUAUAUAUAGUUGAUUGACUAUAAAAUUCACAAUAUAUACUAGAUACAUCACAUCCACAUGUAAAUUAACUCGUAAUACAACGUUUUGUAUAUAUACAAUGAUAAAUUAUCAUUUAAUUUAGCUUAUAUUAUUAUAUUAUAACUUCAACAGUAUAUUUUUUUUGAUCAAUCGAUCGUAUGAUAUCAAUGUAUUCAAUAUAUAAUUGAAUACAUUUAACUUUUUUUAAUAUAAAAAUUAUUUAUUUCAUAGUAAAUUAAAAAUCAAACAUCGAAGGACAGUGUCGUUUUCAUAAAGUUAAUUUUUAUUUAGUUUUAACAAAAGCGAUGAUGUCCGUUGUUUUUUGAAAAAAUAAAGAAAAAUUAAAAAUAUUUAUAAAUUGCGACGGACAGUGACGCUUUUAUAGAAUUAAAAUUUUAGAAAAUAAAAAUUAUUGCGACAUUGUCCGUCGCUUUUAAUAAAACUAAACAAAAAAAAUAAAAAGCGACGGACUACUUCGCUUUUUAAAAAGUUAAUUUCUGUACAAAAGCGACGUUGUCCAUCACUUUUUGUAAAAAAUAAAGAAAUAUUAAAAAUAAUUACCAAUUGUGAUGGACAACGUCGCUUUUCUAAAAUUAAAAUUUUUGAAACUAAAAAUUAUUGCAACGUUGUCAGUCUCUUUUAAUAAAAAUAAACAAAAAUAAAAAUUUAAUUUAAAAAGUGACGGACAACGUCGCUUUUCAAAAAAAAAUAUUUAAUUUUAACAAAAGUGACAUUGUCCGUCGUUUUUUCUAAAAACUAAAGAAAAAUUUAAAAUAAUUACAAAUUACGACGGACAACGUCGAUUUUCUAGAAUUAAUAUUUUAAAAAAUAAAAAUUAUAGCGACAUCGUCCGUCGCUUUUAAUAAAAAAUAAAUAAAAAUAAAAAUCAAAUUUAAAAAUCGACGGACUACGUCGAUUUUAAAAAAAAAAUUAUUAUUAUUUUUUAAUAAAUUACGACGAUGUCCGUCACUUUUAUUAAUAAAAUAUUAUGAAUUAUUUUUUAAUUAAUUGGCACAAAAAUUCAUGAAAAAAGCGAUGGAUAUUGUGACGUUGGUCGUCAUUUUUCAUAAAAAAUAAAUAAAAAUUAAAAUUAAACUAAAGAGGCGACGAAAAAAGUGACCUUGGCCAUCGCUUUUAAUAAAAAAUAAAUUAAAAUUAAAAUUAAACUAAAAAAGCGACGGCCAACGUCGCUUUUAAAAGCGACACUGACCGUCGCCUUUUUUUGCGUUGCUUUUUGGCAAUUUUUUAGUAGUGUAUGAAUGCGCGAAAAAUCAUAUUUUAAUGAAUGAUUGCGCUACACUGUCAAUGGCCAAUAGAAGACUGCCACUUGUCCUUAUGUCGUUUGAGAAUGGCCAACCCACUAGCGUAUAGUAGAUGUGAUUCUGCUGAGGGUUGUCGUCGCACCUGAAUACUCUAACACACCGCCCUUUUAUCGGUCCUUUGAUGCAGUCGAGAUCGUUAUCCUCUCGGGUCAUUCCGUUGUUACUAGAGAAGCCAUUCCCUAGUGUUGCGCUUGCUAGAUCUCGAGAUGAUGCUAUCGCGGGCCCGUGCAUAUUACACCCAACCCGGAUCGGCCUAGUCUCAGUCAAAGCUAUUUACCUCAUACAGCUUGAAUCAUGCAUAGCUUUAAGAACCCAUCUGAGAAAAUAUAUGUUCUAUGACUCCCAAUUAACAAAUGAUAGGAUUCAUUUUACAAUAGGAUAGUGAUUUUACCGUAACCAUAUACAGCACUUCAUAUAUGUUGUACCAAGGGCUGUAAUAUUUAUACCUUGGUCUUGGAGGUUGGCAUUACUUUAAUUUCUUUCACUAUUCUUCAUUGAAGCAAGAUUGGAUCGGAUCAGAUAGUUUCACAAUGCAAAUCCAGGGUUUGAAUUUUAGGAGUUGCUACCAUAAUUUUAACUUAAUAUAUUAUAAUAGCUGAAUUAACAGUCAAAUAUUAUAAUGCCUGGAGAUUUAAAAAAUAUUCAAAUAAGUUUUGGGCGAAAGUUAUUAGGUUCCUGUAAUAUCACACGAACAUACAGGAGUUGCCCCUAUUUACGAUAAUUUCCAAAGUUAGGAUACUUGAUCGUCCAAUAUAUGUAACAUUGUUAUUGGCUUAGAAUCUUAAUCAGUACUCAUAAGCUUCUCUUAUUCAGGAGAGUGUCACUUCAGUUUAAAACCAACAUACUUCUUCCCCAGCUAUCCUUAGCUGUGUGUGUUUCGUACUACAUUAAAAACUAUGAUAAAAAGUUUUAAUAAUGCAAAGAAAGGACAAAGAGAAGGUGAUUAAUGGGGUGUCUUCUGAAAAGUCACAUGAUGAGACAUGUCUUUUAAUCUUUUCCACUUUGAAGAUUGCUUGGAAUUAAAGAGAUAUAAUCGACAUUAGUUAAACCAGCUCACAUGCUGCCCAUCCAACUGCCAAUUAACAACAAAAAAAUUUGGCUCGAUAUAUAUAUCGAUGGUUCUUUAAAUUUUUCUACAAAUUUAUUUGGACAUUCAAAUGACGACUUAUUUUAAUUGAACAAUAUUUGUUCACAUCAUAAAAUAUUUCUAUUAGCUAUCUUUUAUCUAAUUUUAGAAAAAAAUUUGAGUGUGUUCUUAAAUGUCUGUUGCAUAAAUAAGUUAAAACAGAUAAAUAUAACAUCUAUAAUAAUUAUACACAUGAACAUUAAUUAGAAAACUUUGGGAGUUCUAAACCUUUAUUAAGGCUAAUUUAGGUAAUGAUCAUUUAACAACACGUGUAAAAAUAUUUUCAAAAUUUGAAUCAAAAGAGUUUAAUAGUAAUAUUUUAUCAUGUUUUCUAAUAUAUAAUAGAAACAAAUCAUAAUGUAAAUAACAAUUUUUUUUUUUGAAAAGUUCAAGGGUCAUUUAAACGCAAGGGGUAAAUUUCUCCUGAAUGCUAAUAAAAGGGUAGUCGCUUUUAGUCUAGUGGAGCUUUGUCCCGGAAUACUUUUAUCAACAGUGUGGAAGCAUCUUUUGACCUAAAACUGUGGAUUGGCCUUUAUAAACUACUUUCUUUAAUUAGCAGUAAUAAUUUGAAAAGUCACAGUCACACACAUGUGUUGUCAGAUUUAAGCAUAGGCCUAGCUUAACUAACAAGAUGAAUUUCUUUAUUAAUUACCAUUCUUAAAAGCCAUUAUUUUCUAGUAAGCAAACUCCAUAUACUUUCAAACUCCUAUCCAAUAUUCUCUCAUCAGUAAUGACCCAUCAUCUCUCUCAGAGUGAAUGUAUUAAGAAUAGGAAACAAUUAUAGAACCAUCUUUCUUCUCUUGUUCUUGUUUUUGUCUCAAUUGUUCAUGGUUUCUGGUAGAUCAUUCCCUCUUAUAGACAAACUUCCUAGAGAAUCAAGAAGAUUAAUUGGUUCAUUCACAUCACUCUCUGUUAAUCCUAGUCAGGUGAAUGAAUCAAUUAUAGCACCUGAGAAAGCUGUGAAAAAAAGUUUAAGGAGAAAGCCUCCAAGUUCUUGGAACCCAAUCCAGAAUAAUUUGCAUCCAUGAUACUCAAAAGUAAAGGUUACUAUGGGGAUGUUUUUUUGGUCCAAGAAGAUUACAUUUUAUAUUGAGUUCAAAAGUACAGGAAACAUUUUGUGUUUGUGAAGAUAUAAAUGAGUCUGUACAAAAAGUACGUACUUGGCAUGGGUGGGAGCACCCAACAGUGGUUUGUAAUUCUGCGGGCGUAUUGUGGUGUGAUUCCACAAGUAGAGUUCCCGGUUGAUAUCAUCCUUUAGGGUAUCCUGAACAAAGAAGGGUGCUUCAUCAAAAACUGUGAUGGAGUUUUUGUGAAGACACGUACAUUAUAUUCAUAGUCACGGUUUAAUUGGGAAUACUAAUUCUAUCAUGCUUUAAUCAGGUUGAAUCGCUAUUCUUCCUAGCAAAUCUCUGGAUUUGGUGUCUGUCGCUCACGCUUUCAUCAGUGAUUACCAUCAUCAUUCGUCAAGUCGAUGAAGAAUCUCUUUAAAAUUUAGUCGAAUUAGUGAUCAGGGGAUGUAAGGAAGCGGAGGAAGCUACGUCAUUUGUUGCACGGACUGGAUUGUACAUGCUUUUUUUUUCUUAUCGUAGAUUUGAAUGUGCCUAUCCUUGUUUUUUUUUCUUUUUUAUAGUUUUGUUUCUUUUACAAAUUUGAGGCAAAUAGAAAGGAGUGGCUUUAGUAAAAAUUAAUGCUCUUCUGACAAUUUUGCAGCUUUUCCUCUCGAACAAAAAGAAAUAAUGAUAAAAUUAUCGCUUUUCCUCCUCGUGCAAGUGUUAAAUUAUCAUUAUUUCUUUGUCUAUAUGAACUACUCCUGGUAGGAAAAGGCUGGACAAUUAAGUGUAUUCAGAGCAUCAAGAUUCAAGAACUCCCUAGCUUGAGAAAGUACUUCUCGUCUGAUUUUCUUGAAGAAUUUGAAGCUUUAUUUAAUGAUAAAAUUUCCUGUAAUUGUUUAGAUGCAUUUUCAUAUCUAUGUUUUCCUUCUUUUUUUGGGUAGUAGCAUUAGGCCUAGAUUAUACCAUGUUGAGUGAAAAUGGCACUCAUCCAUUUGGGAAACAAUAAGUUGUUACUAUAUCUUCCCCCUUCUUAGUCUUAAGUUGUUGCUAUAUUUUUUUUUUGGAGUGGGGGCUAUUGUUUUUAAUCUUAAAUAAAUGAUGGGAAUAUGUACAAAGAACAUAUUUGUGGCGCACUGUUUACAUAUUUACCAAAACAAUAGUUUUUGAGAUAACUGUUUUCCAAUUUUAGUCAUUCAACCAGAAGUUCUUACGGGAACUACUUCAAAUUAUUUGUUUUUAUGAGGUUUAUACUCUUUAUGUUGUAUUUGUAAUCUAUUUUUCAUAUGAAAUUUGAAAGUAAAAGUUAUUUUAAACAUAUUUAUGAUAUAUAAUACUAUAAGGUCAUUAUUCAAAUUUUACUUUGAACUUAACAAAUUAAAUUAAAUUAAAUCAUAUAAACUGGGAUAGAAGAAAAUACAUCGAUUUAUAUAGUAUAAGUAGCAAUUAACAUAUUUUUGCUUUCUAGACAUAUUUAACAUUAUUUAGCUUAUUGCCCUACGAGGGAGUGCUUUUCUCUUAUCCUUUGUUACUAGUACUUUUUAUUCUCUAAUUUUAUUUUAUUUUAACAAACUUAAAAUGUGAAGGGACUUUAAAAUAUUCUUCAAAUUUUUUAUCAUUUAUUAAAAGUCUUUGUUUUAGACAAAAUCAUCUUUUCACUAUUUUUCCUGAUAUUUAACAGUUGAAAAUUAAUUAAAUAUAUUUAUGGUAAAACCUUUCCUAAUUAGAAGUAAUCAAAAUUAAUAACAACUAAUAUUUUCUUAUUAGUUUAAGAAUUUUAAAUCAACUAAACUUGAUUUUAAAAAGAUUUGAAAAAUCUAGAAAUAAAUAUAAAAGCAUUAGAAUAAGAAAAAUUUAAGAAGUAUCAAAUUUUGUAAAAAAUUAAUUACGUAAUAAGAAUAUAAUCGAUGAUUUUUUAAAGAUCUAACUUUAAAAAUAAGAAAACAAUUUAAAUAAAGAAAAAAAAUUAAUCGCACCACAAAUAUGGUUCAAAUUGAUGCUCUCUCUUAUACUCGAGCAACAAUGGAAAGAGGUACUGCAUGACAAACGCAAAAGUAAUGUUCCAUAAAUGACCUGAAACUUCUAGUGGUAAAAUAUGUAUGUGUUUAUACUAAAAUAUAUAUUUUUAUUUACAUCAUUAUAUUAAAGUGUGAAGAAUGUCUGAAAAGUGAUUUGAGAUUUUUACACUUCAUUAAAUAAUCGUGAGAUUAAAUUAGUUAUAAAAAUGAGAGAACAAAAAGAUGAAAUAAAAUGUGAUUCCAUUUGCUAAGAUGUUAGACGGUGAACACACACCUAUAUAAAAUUAUAAAUUAAACUGAAAGAGUAAAGUUCAGGCAAAACAUAAAAGAACAGAAAAAAGAUGCACAUGUGCAUGAGACAGGCACAAAAUAGCAUGGAGGGAGCGCAUGUUAUUGGAUCUGCCAAUAUCUCCAAUGAUUGCUACCUAAAUACUUUUCUCCUGUUACCUUUACAGCUAAAUUGAGUUCUUGAUCUGACUUGUAAUUCAACACGCUAAUGAUAUUUUUUCUAUUUAUUUAAUUUAUGUAUACUAAACAGUGUGAAAAAAUUACUCUAUUAAUAUAACUUAAUUUGCAGGAGUGCGUUGGAAAUCAUUUUUACUAUAUUAUCAAUAAUUACUUUCUAUAAAAAUUUAUUUAUAGAUAACCUUAUUAGUUUGGUAUGUUAUAUGUGAUAAUACACAGAACUUAAGUCUUCUCUUUCCUUUUCUUCCAAAAACCCCUUUUAUCCUACUUCAGAGUUUUUUUUUUUUUUGAAAAACUACAUAAAGUAUCAAACUUAAGCAUGAGAUUAUAAAAAAAUAACAAUAAUUUUAUUAAAUUACAUUUUGUAACAUCCAUAACAUUAUUUUAUGUGAUCCCUACUUUUUAUCCAUUUGGAGAAGUAACUGUAAGUUUUUCCUAUUUUCACGCCAUUAGCUUUCUCUUUCAUUAUUUUGAAAGAUUUUUUGCCAUUUUUUUCACCCUAAAUUAUAUCUUCCCGCUCCCAUUUUUUUUUACUUUGCACGAUUUUAGCAUCAUCAGUAAAGAUUAUCUUCAUCUAUUUCAGGUAACUCUUAAUUUAGCUAUUGCAUGUUAGCAUUUUUUUGGGGGGAGGGGGGAUAAAUUUCAGAAUUAGCAAACUUUAAUAUAUCUCAAAAUCAGAAUUUAAGGUUUUUGAUUUUAAUGGCUGAACAAACACCAAAGUCACGUACAAAUAGUGGUAUAAGUAAUUCAAAUUUGGUCUAUGAUUGUGGACCAUCUUUUAGUCUUGGGUUAACUCAAGAAGAUGUAGUUAAAGUUGUUUCAAAUUCUUUACAGUCGAAGAAAUCUGAGAAACCAGAGGAGAUUAGGUCGAAGUUUCACAACGAUCUACUGAAGAUGAAAAAAAAAUUGAUAAAAAAACCGUUGAAGAAAUCGCCUUCUUAGAAGGAAAAAAAUUUAAAAAAAUCGAGAAGAAAAGGAAAGCGAAAGAAAUUGAAGGUUUGACUAAGGUUGAUGAGGAUGUUCAGAUCUCUUUUGAUGAUGAUUCUGAAGAUGUUAGCGAGGAAGAGGUAUUUUUUGUUCUAAAUGUAUUUUUUUAGUAAAAUGUAUUUUGGCCCAAGUAAAAAUGUUGUUAAAGUUGUAAGUUAUAUGUAUUUUUUUGAUGUAGUUAAUAUGUAUUUUGGUGUUAUGAUUAUAUUUUGUGAUUAAAUGUUGAUUUGUGAAGAUGAUAGUAAAAUUGUGAAAAUAUAUUGUUGUAUUAACUAGUCAUGAAGAGUAUAUUGGCUAUAUGUAUUUAUUAGCAUAAAUGAUUUGUAUUUUUCACUGUUGGUUGCAGUUUUGAUAUGGUAAGAAAUACAUAUGUAUGUUAAUUUUACUUGAAAUACUACAUCAGUCUGUUGGAUAUAUGUAUUUUAGUAUAUAUGAUAUGUAUUUUUCAGUGUUGGUUGUAGUUUUGAUAUGAUAAAAAUACAUAUGCAUAUUAAUUUUAGCUUAAAUACCAGAACAGACUAUUGACUAUAUGUAUUUUUAGUAUAUUUGAUAUGUAUUUUUCAGUGUUGGUUGCAGUUUUGAUAUGAUAAAAAUACAUAUGCCUGUUAUAUGUUUUUUUUUAUUUUUAUUGGCUGCUUGAUUUUUUGGCUGCAUGUUAUAUGAUUCUUUGUAUAGGUGAUGCGGGAUGAAAUAUUCAUUGUCAAAAAGCUUCCAAGAUUUGCACCACAUAUGUGUUCUUACAGUAACAAAGAUAUUUAUGGAAGAAUACGCGCAAUUUUAAACAAGGAACAGUUUAAAAACUUUUGCGACAAAAAUAUUUUUGGUUAGUUUAUGAAGAAGCAGCAAUUUGUAGUGCAAGCACAGUUAUGCAGAUGAGUUAUGACGCUUGAGGUGAAGGGUAGUUCUUCAUCUGGGAUUCUAAUUUGUGCUAAUGGGACCUUUCUUAAUUUUACUCCUAGGGAAUUUGCUAUCAUAACUGGAUUGAAUUGUGUGUCAAAUAGAUAUGACUUUAUCUUUGAAGAGGGUGUACCAAAUAGGAUGGUUGAGAAGUAUUUCAAUGGGGCAGAAAUUAUACAGAAAAGNNNNNNNNNNNNNNNNNNNNNNNNNNNNNNNNNNNNNNNNNNNNNNNNNNNNNNNNNNNNNNNNNNNNNNNNNNNNNNNNNNNNNNNNNNNNNNNNNNNNNNNAUACCCCAUCUUCAUUUCGAUUUGGUCGAUAGUGGGAGAUAUAAGGUUUUUCAUGGGAUUUUUUAUCUUUUGAAGAUCUUGCCAGAAGUUUGAACAAUCGGUUGAAAGCUGGUGGUCAAUUUUAUUUGAUUCAGGGAAUGCCACUGGCUAUUCAAGUGUGGCUUUACGAGUGUUGUUCAAAUGUUCCACCAAAGAUUUCAUCAAAGGUUGAUAAUCGGAUUCCUCGAUUAUUAAAUUGGAAGACAAUUGCACUUCGUCCACGCUUUGAGUUUUUGAUGAAUGCUAUAUUCAAUGAAAAUGGCAAGGUUUGUUGUUACUAAAUACAUAUGUAUUAAUAUGUAUUUUACAGUAUACAUAUAUACAUUUUCAUUUGCAAUUGUUUAACUGAUUCUUUAACAUAUAUUAUUUACCUAUUAUUCUAGGUUGUCUUUAAGAACAUAGAGCCAACGAAAAAGAAGCUGUCAAAAUUGCAAAUACCAUAGAAGGAUGCAAUACUGUAAUACCCCGCAUGUUUCUAAGUUAGGAAGUUAAUAAGUAUUCCUACGUAUGAAAUCUCCUAUCCUGUGACUCAUACUUGAGUACAUGACUUACAAUGAAUAUCCUAGUGAUAGGAUAGCUUAUGAUACAUUAAGCAUGUUCAUAUGAGUCACUUAAGGUAAUACAAGCUAAGAGUUUUUCAAUCCAUCAAAUUUUAGUGUUUGAUUUUGCAAGGGUCAUCUUUGAAUGAGUAUAACUUAAUAUUAAUGUGGUAUUUUAGAUGAUUUAGACCCACCAGAUUGUAGAGAAUCAAAUUAGCUUUUCAACUAUACCAAUUUCGCCUUAAUCCAAUACCCGAGCGAAAAGUUAUGCCCAUUUUCGUGAGAGACAGUAAGCAUAGGCAAUUGGUUAGACACCGCCCAACCCAAGCAUAGGCGAUUACUUGGGCACCUCUUAAGUCAAUUCCAGGUGUUAAAAACACUCUAUUUUGGGUUAUUUUAAAGGUAAUUAAGUCUUUAAAUACUCCUUACACAUCCCUAAACUUAAAGCUACGAAAUAUAUAGCUUCUAAACAUAUUGCAACCCUAUUUUCAUAUCAAAGCUCAUCAUCCAAGAGCACUAAAAGAGAAAAACAACUAGGGUUGCAUAAUUAAGCUUGAAGAUCCGAUUUUAAGGAAAUUCCUCCGUCAAUCAUCAAGAAUCUUCCUUCUAAGGUAUNNNNNNNNNNNNNNNNNNNNNNNNNNNNNNNNNNNNNNNNNNNNNNNNNNNNNNNNNNNNNNNNNNNNNNNNNNNNNNNNNNNNNNNNNNNNNNNNNNNNNNNNNNNNNNNNNNNNNNNNNNNNNNNNNNNNNNNNNNNNNNNNNNNNNNNNNNNNNNNNNNNNNNNNNNNNNNNNNNNNNNNNNNNNNNNNNNNNNNNNNNNNNNNNNNNNNNNNNNNNNNNNNNNNNNNNNNNNNNNNNNNNNUUUGAUAAAAUGCCUAAGGAACUAGAAAUCAUGUAAUAUAGUUAAAUUGUGACUAAGUGAAGGAUUCAUGAUAUGUCCUUACGUUCCAAUGACUUCUAUGUUGUUAAUGUGCCUUGUAAAUGUUGUUGGAAUAAUCAUGAACUAUUCUUAUGAGAUUAUGCUAUGUUUACUUGCAAAUCCUACUUAUGAACAAGAUGUAUGAUAACUAUGCAAUCCACAUGAACUUCCAUGCUAUUGGUAUGCGUUGCCAAUAUGACUAUGCAAUGAACAUGAUAUUAAGAUUGCGCAAGUACUUCCAUGUAAUAUGAAAUCCUUUCCAUGCAAUACAUUGUUGAUAACCAUGCUUAGUAUGAGAUCCCUACUUUUGAUAUUAUAAAUUAUGGACUCUACUCUUAUGAUCAAGUCAGUCAUGUGUGUCAGUUUCCUUCCAUCGAGUCCUGGGGGUACUUGUACCCGAAAACUAUAGUUGUGUGCCUAGAUCCAUGUUAUGUUUCAUGAUAUCUGAACUCAAGCUAUGAUUCCAUAGACUUCAGUCAGUCAUGUGACUCAAGAAAACCUCAUGAUCACCAUUAAUAUAUCCUCCGGAUUCACUAGGCAUCAUCACAUUAUCAAUAUAUCCUAUGGAUUCACUGGGCAUCAUCACAUCAUCAAUAUAUCCUCUAGGUUCACCGGGCAUCAUCAUAGCACCAUAGUCAUCAUGAAAACUAUAAUUAUAUACAUAUAUAGUCAAAUCAAUAACAAGUACAAGCCCACAAUCAAUAGAGUAUAAGAGAGGUAAGGAAAUACAUAUUAUGUUACUUCACCAUUAAUCAUCACCAUAUUAUAUAGGUAGAUGCAUGGGCAUGUAUAUCUAAAUAAUAUGAACAAUCACCAUUUUUCUGAUCUUGACAUGAUUAUUAGCAAGUCAAUUAUAAUUCAUGGGUAGGACUUCUAGAAUCUUUCUUUGCUUACAGGGCUAAAAUACUAGCAAGGAGGUCUUUUUACACAAACAUUAGUUUAGUCAUUAAUUCGAAAUCAUAAUAAGAGUUGUGACAUAAUUCAAGGUUCACUUAGUGAACUUGCCAAUAAGUCAAGUGAUAGCAUAACCAUAGAUUCAAUUCACUAGACUUUCUAAUGCUAUCCAUAUCAUGACAAUAAGAUAUUCAAUCAAGUAUACACAUUAUCCAAAAAUCAACAACAUGGACAAACCAUUAAUUGGGUUUAGCCAUCAUAUCACCAAAGGCAUAAUCUAGGCGUUCAUUACGUAUCUAGGUCACUAAUGAAGUUAUAUAGUUCAAGCUUAAGGAGGGUUAAGUUCCGCUUUUAAUAAUCCCCAAAUUCUCUUCUACAAGUCUAACAUCUACCUGAAAUUAGGCUAAGUUAUCUAAAUUGUGACUUAAGGGCUUACCAAUCAACACUAGUUUAAUAGGACAAUUCUUCUUCAAGUAUUUCUCCUAAGUAACCCCAAGCACCCAAAGUCAUUCCACCACUAAGCAUAUCGAGGUCAACAUACUUUUAAGGUAAGUGAACAAGGUCACUCUCAUCUACUAUAUCAACUAGAGUAUUCUCAUGCUAUUAAUGAGAUAACAAGUCUAACUAACCAAGGUUCUAGGAUACGAGUCAACUAUCCCACUUAAUGUGUUUCAAGACCUAAGUGAUCCAACUAGUCCCAAACAUUUUUAAUCUACCAUUUCAUUAUCUAAGACUCCGCCCAAUCCUAUCAAGAUAUCACAAUUAUACUACAAUAAUGCUCAAUCUAAAAAAAGUAAGACUAACCUAGCUUGAGUCAAAAUAGCUCACGAACCAACAAUCUUUACUUUCCCUUUCCUUGAGGCUUCUUCCACGAGCCAAGCUAUCAAUAACAUAAUCUAUGCAUUAUUACGAGAAUAACAACGCCCAUAUUGUACCAUUGUGCUUUCGAUCCAAAAUGACACCAAAACCACCACCCCCUAAGCGGGUCCCACAUACCAAAAAUAGGUUUUCGAAACCAACCCAUUGUUCAAAUACCAUUGGGGAGUUAUAACCCACAAGAAAUUUGUCCAAACAACCACAUUUGGGGCUAAAAAUCAUGGCUCGAGCCAUUUGGGGUUUUGGGUCUAAUAAUCAAGAAAUCAUCACUAAAAUUAAAGGAAUAUUACCUUAAAUUUGAUGUUAAUCACAAAUAUGCUAGUUGUUUAAGCUUCCAGUCAACACCCAACACAUACUUUGAUGACUACUCUCUCCAUUAGGAUAUUAGAGGCUCAAAACAAUGGAGAAACAACCAAAUUUUGGUCAAAAGAGGGCUCUUAUAUAAACCCUUCCAGGCCCCAAGAGCAGCGAUCACGUACCCUCUCUAGAUCACAAUCGCGGACAUUGCGAUCGCACUAUACCUCAUGCAAUCACGGUACCUUGGUGCACUAUAUGAUGGCUAAAACUUAGAAUUUGGUCAAGGCCUUGAGAUGCAUCCAGAGUCCAAUAUGACCAAAUGAGAUAUGUAACCAUAUAGAUUUUGACGUUCCAGAUGCAUUGGUGAAGUUGGAUUUUCCAUCCAAUAUCAUUUUUUAAAAGUUUUUGCUCGAUGGCCAUUUGGAACCAACAAAGACUUCUAAAUGGAGAAAUGGUUCUAACAAAUUAAAAAACUACCAGGUCACCAAACUAUUAGUUCCAGCAAGUCAUAAAUGACUUGGGGAAGCUAUGGAAAAGUUCGAUCGGCAAAAAUGAGCAGGAACAUAGAAAUGACUUGAAGGGUCAUCACAACAUCCACUACUAAGGAACUUUCAUCCCCAAAAGUUAAAGAUGAAGGAAAUACCUGAAGUCUUAAACAAAUGAGGGUACUGAGCUUGCAUCUCACUCUAAAUCUCCCAAUUGACCUUCUCUAUUGGGUAGUGCCUCAACUGAACCUUAAUUACAUGAAUCUCUUUAGUGCACAACCGCCUCAUAUCAUUAGCCAAGAUAAGAAUGCGCUGAUCAACAAAGGCAAACUGCUUAUCUAACUAGAUUGAGUCCCACCUAAUUACAUAAGAUGAAUUAGUAAUAUACUUCCACAACAUCGAUACAUAGAAAAUCGGAUGAAUAACAACAAAAUCUAGAGGGUAGGCUAACUUAUACACCACCUCGCCAACUGUACGGAGAAUUUCAAAUGGACUAAUAUAAUGAGGGCUAAGUUUAUCCUUCCUUCUGAAUCUCAUGACACCCCUCAUUGGUGAAACACAAAGGAACCCACGGUCACCAACUUUGAAUCUCUAGGCACAAAGUCUACGAUCGGCAUAGGCUUUCUGCCUACUCUGUGCUGUUAUCAGCCUAUCCUGUAUCAUCCUGACUUUUUUCAAUGAGUCUUGAAGCAAAUCCGCACCACAGGGUCUCACCUUAGAAGUCUCAAACCACCCUAUUAGAGAACGACAUCUCCUACCAUACAAGGUCUCAUAGGGCACCAUCUCAAUACUCUAAUGAUAGUUUUUGUUAUAUGUGAGCUCUGCCAAUGCUAAGUGUUGAUCCACUAUCCUCCAAAAUCAAUAACACAGUCUUAAAGCAUAUCUUCAAGCACCUGAAUAGUCCGCUCGUACUGGUUAUCUGUCUGUGAUGAAAAGAUUUACUCAAAUCCACUUGAGUACCCAACUCCUUCCAAAAUGCUCUCUAAAUAUCGUGAAGUAAUUACAAAACCACAGUCUGAUAUAACAAAAAUAGGCACCUCGUGCAAACAAACUAUCUCUCGAACAUAAAUCUGGGCUAAUCUCUUAGCAUUGAAGGUCAUCUAAAUAGGAAUGAAAUAUGCUGACUAAGUCAAACGAUCCAUAAUAACCCAAAUACCGUCAUGACUAUGGGAAGUACAGGGUAAACCACUAAUGAAGUCUAUAGUAAUCCUUUCCCACUUCUAUUAGGGAAUGGGUAAUCUUUGUGUCAAUCUACCUAGAAGUUGAUGCUCGCCCUUAACCUACUAACAACAUAGGAAACAAGCCAUUCUGCCACAUCUUUCUUCAUCCUAUCCCACUAGUAAUACUACUAGCUCAAAUCACUAUACAUCUUCGUUGUAUAUGGAUAAAUGGAAUAUCUAGUACUACAAGCCUCAUGAAGAAUCAACUAAAUCAAGUUGUCAAGUUAGGGAACACAAAUACGAUCCUUAGACCUCAAAAUAUUAUCGAAAUCAAAAGUGUGCCUCUAAGACUCACCACUCACCACCUGAUCACGAAGGAAGCACAACUUGUUAUCCUCAUACUGGCGAUCACGAACCCGCUCAAAUAAGGAUGACCUCACCUCCAUAUAAGCCAAAAUCCUUGCAAAAUAUCAAGGCGAACUAUCAAAUUGGCAAAGGACUGAAUUCGCCAUGACAUAGGCCUCUGAGAAACUGACAUACAAGCCAAGAUAACCUACUCACAGCCUUGCAACUCAAGGCAUCAACUACUAUAUUUGCCUUACUCGAAUGAUACAAGAUAGAAGUAUCAUAGUCCUUCAACAACUCCAUCCAUCUACACUGGCAAGCAUUAAACUCUCGCUAGGUCAAAAGAUACUGAAGGCUACGAUGAUUGGUGAAGAUAUCACAAUGCACACCAUACAAAUAAUACCACCAAAUCUUGAGCAAAAAAACUACCGCCGCCAACUCCAAAUCAUGAGUUGGGUUAUAGCGCUCAUGUACCUUAAGCUAUCUAGAAGAAUAAGAAAUAACUCGACCCUGCUGUAUCAAAAUACAACCAAGACCAACACCAGAAGUGUCAUAAAUCAUGGUGAAUCCCUCAUUCUCUACUAGAAGAGCUAACACUAAAGUAGAAGUAAGACGGUCCUGAGCUUCUCAAAGAUCAACUCACACUCCUCAGACCAUCGUAAAGGAACUUUCUUCCGAGUCAAUCAAGUCAUAAGGGCUGAAAUAUAGCAAAGCUCUCAACAAAAUGCCUAUAAUAAUCUUCCAAACCAAUGAAACUACGAACCUCACUCGAAGACGUAGGUCUAGCCCAAUCACAAAUCACUGAGAUCUUAGCUGGGCUUACCAUAAUAUCCAUUUUGGACACCCCAUGUCCAAGAAAUGACACUAACUCAAGCCAAAACUCACACAUAGAGAACUUGGCAAAAAGCACAUGAUCUCUUAGAGUCUGGAGCAUGACCCUCAAAUGCUGCGCAUGCUCCUCACUACUCGUUGAAUAACAAGAAUUUCAUUAAUAAACACAAUAAUGAAGGAUUCUAGGUAGGGCCUGAACACAUGGCUCAUCAAAUCCAUGAUUGCGGUUGGGGCAUUAGUCAACCCAAAAGACAUCACCAAAUACACAUAAUAACCAUAACGGGUCCUGAAGGCUGUCUUUGGGAUAUCUUCAGCUCGAAUCCUCAACUAAUGAUAACCUGAUCUAAAAUCUAUAUUAGAAAACACAGCUGCACCCUGAAGCUAGUUGAACGAAUCAUCAAUGUGAGGCAUAGGAUAAUGGUUCUUUAUCGUUACCUUAUUAAGCUACCUAUAAUCAAUACACAUGCGAUAGAACUAUCUUUCUUCUUAACAAACAAUAGAAGAGCUCCCCAUAGGGACACACUUGGUCUAAUGAAACCCUUACUAAGAAGAUCCCGGAGCUGAGAGUUCAGUUUUUUAACAAAGUUAGGGGGUUACCAAGCAGGUCAGAAGGAAAAAUAUUAGAAAACUCACACACAAUAGGAAUAGAGUGAAGCGACAGACUCUCUACUUAAGUAUAACAUACAUAAGUGGGAUAAGACUCGAAACCUCUUGAUAUAAGCAUUCUAGCACAAACAUAAGAAAUAAUCCCUGUUGGAUUGCGGCUAACCGCUCCUUGUCACAUAACUGUGGUUAUGCCAGGCAUGGUUAAGGUAAAAUAAUCCAUAAUCGCGUGAUAUUAGGAUAACCAGGCCAUGCCUAGAAUCACAUUGAAAUCCAGCAUAUCUAGAAUAAUAAGAUGAGCAUAAGUAUCAACAUCACUAACUAUCUCAACAUAUGAUCUGAAUACUCAAUCAACUCCUAAGAAAUCACCCAUGAGAGUAGAGACACGCAAUGACAUAAAUAAUAAAUCACUAGUCAAGUGCAGCUAUAGUGUAUAAUAAGUAGAUAUAUAAGAAUAUGCGGAUCUGGGAUCAAACAAAGAAAGAGCCAACUUUUGCCAUACCAAAAUCAUAUCUAUCACAAUAGCAUCCGAAGUCUCAGCCUUAAGUCUAGAAGGUACUGCAUACAAUUGACCACACCCGCCACCUUACUGGGCAUAUGACCGACCUCCUAUCCUGCCUACCUAAGUACCACCUUGACCACCCUGGUAACCACCCCUUCAACCUCACAAACCCUAAUAGGAGUAGCACCCUAUGCUAAAAAUACAUUACCUUACGACUAGGGCAGUCUCUCAAGAAAUAGUCGGAAAGCCUAUAAGUGAAACAAGAAUCACGAGUAGACCCAGAAUUCACAAAUCUAGCAAGACCGAAGUAACCACCACUCCUAGCAUGCCUGCAUAUAAACCUCUUAAAGACUGAUCUGAUCCCUUACUAGGGUGACCACUAAUAUCAAACUAACCUCUGUCAGUAGUCUAAAGAGCUGCCUGAAUUGGUCAAUUAGUCUGACUCUUAGGCUGAAAAAAUGGACAAAAGUGAUGCCCAACAUAAAAAGUGCCACCUCUAAAUAGGGAACUACUAUGUCUCCCAUUAAAUCUGUGGUGAUACUUGGGCCUCUUAUCAUGUCCCUUACGAUUCAUGUCCUCCAUCACUCUAGCAUGAUCAAGAACCUCAGAAAAAGUCCUACCCGGCACAACUAAACUCUGAGUAGACAUCCAAAAAGGAAGUCCCAAUCCUCUCACAAAGUAGCAAACUCUCUCAUUCUCAGUAUCCAAGAUAAAAGUUACAUGUCUGGACAACUCAUGAAAAUGAGCCUCCUACUCAGCAACUGUCAUAGAACCCUGCUCCAAUCUAGAGAACUGAUCUUUUAAUUGAUCCCUACGGUUGGGCAGCAUAUAAUUCUCCAAGAACAUCUUGGCAAACUAAGUCCAUGAAAGAAAAGAAGAUCGAACUGUCUUAGAAAUCAUACAACCUAUUCACCAGUGUUGAGAAGACAAAUCCAACUAAAAUGUGGUGUAAUUCAUACCAAGAGUGCUAACAAGGCCUAACCAUGAAGCCUAUCUACACAAGCAGUCUGAAACUUAAAUGCAUCCUCUUUAGGAGAACCAAAAACUCUAGGUGGAGCCAACAUAAAAAACUACCCAACAUCUUCUUCUCCUCGACAGACAUAGUAGGCUAAGUCACAACUGGUUGAGUGACCAUCGGCUGAACAACUGUCAGCAUAGGAGGAACCUCAACUCUAAGAGUUGUAAUUGUAGGCUGCACUCCAGCCCCAGUAGUCUACAAACCAUCAACAAUACCUAACAGUUGAACUAAAGCAUAUCUAAGCAAUAAAGAGGGAAUAAAACCUAGUUGAUCCUGGGCUGGUCCCAGGCCCACCGCUGGCUGAAUUGGAGAAAUCUCUAUCUCAGGUAUAGCAAUGGUUUUCGGGGAGGCCCAUCCUGAUCCUUAUCUGGGGAUACAUCAUGAGGCUGGGUCUCGAGUCCCUCAUCAUGUAUAGCUGAAAAAUGAGUCCUGGGCAUCUGCGAAAGAGUAAAGAAGAUAUCCUAUAAAUCAACUCAGUCUCUUAGUCAAUAUGAGUGAAAGAAGUGAAGGACUCCUAAGAAUGUCUCAUAGCCUCUCAAAAAUAGGAAACAGACGUCAACAUUUUGAUCCACAAGACUCUAUUAGACACUUGAUCUUGUACCAAUAAGAAUGGUGAAAUCUUAUCUGUGAUACUAAUUGGUCAUAACCUAAUUCACGAGUCGUGAUGGCACCUACCAAAACCCACCAGUAAGUAAGACAACACCAUAACCCAGAGCUAAGACAAUUGGUUACUUUGGUAGAAAUGCCCGAAAAGGGCCAUAAUAGAUGAAUCACAACAACAAACAACAACACUCUAUGAUAGACAAAAAAACUACAAAUACCAAUUCCCACAACCUAGUCAUAUUAGUACAAGAGCAUCUAAGUUUGGCAAUAGAAAAUACAACUCAAGUCUAAUAAUCUAGUGCGUAACUGCCUCACAUCAUAAGCCAAGUAAGCACGUGCUCCUGAACAAAUGUAAACUGCUUAUCUAAAUGGAUUGAGUCCCACCUAAUUACAUGAGAUGAAUCAGUAAUAUACUUCCACAACAUCGAUACAUAGAAAAUCUGAUGAACAACAACAAAAUCUGAAGGGUAGGCUAACUUAUAUGUCACCUGGUCUACUGUGCAGAGAAUCUCAAUUGGACUAAUAUAAUGAGGGCUAAGCUUACUCUUCCUUCUGAAUCUCAUCACACCCCUCAUUAGAGAAACACAAAGGAACACACGAUCACCAACUCUAAAUCUCUAGGCAAGGAGUCUACGGUCCGCAUAGGCCUUCUGCCUACUUUAUGUAGCUCUCAGCCUAUUCUGAAUCAUCCUGACUUUAUUUAAUGAGUCCUGAAGCAAAUCCAUAUCGCAGGGUCUCACCUUAGAAGUCUUGAACCACCCUAUUGGAGGACAAUAUCUCCUACUAUACAAGGUAUCAUAGGGCUCCAUCUCAAUACUCGAAUGAUAGUUGUUGUUAUAUGCGAACUCUGCCAAUGCAAAGUGUUGAUCCCACUAUCCUUUAAAAUCCAUAACACAGGCUCGAAGCAUAUCCAUAAAUAUCUAAAUAGUCCACUCGAACUGGCCAUCUAUCUAUGGAUAAAAAGCUUUACUCAAAUCAACUAAAGUACCCAACUCCUCCCAAAAUGCUUUCCAAAUAUCGUGAAGUAAAUACAAAACCACAGUGUGAUAUGAAAGAAAUAGGCACCUCAUGCAAACAAACUAUCUCCGGAACAUAAAUUUAGGCUAAUCUCUCAGCAUUGAAGGUCAUCUAAAUAGGAAUGAAAUAUUCUGACUUUGUCAAACGAUCCAUAAUAACCCAAAUACUGUCAUAACUAUAGGAAGUAAGGGGUAAACCACUAAUAAAGUCUAUAGUAAUCCUUUCCCACUUCCACUCGAGAAUUGGAAUUCUCUAAGUCAAUCCACAUGGACGUUAAUGCUCGUUUUUCACCUACUGGCAACAUAGGCAAUGAGCCAUGAAUCGUGCCAUAUCUUUCUUCAUCCAAUCCCACUAGUAAUGCUACCUUAAAUCACUGUACAUCUUGGUUAUACCAGGAUGAAUAGAAUAUCUAGAACUACAAGCUUCAUGAUGAAUCAACUAAAUCAAGUCAUAAGUCAGGGAACACAAAUAUGAUCCUAAAACCUCAAAAUGUUAUCAACAUCAACAAUGUGUCUCUAAGACUCACCACUCACCACCUGAUUACAAAGGAAGCACAAUUUUCUAUCCUUAUACUGACGAUCACGAAUAUGCUUAAAUAAGGACAACAAACCACCACACAAGCGAAAAUCCUAGAUGGAUCUAAAGUAUCAAGGAGAACCAUUAAAUUGGCUAAGGACUGAAUAUCCUAUGACAUAGACCUCUAAGAAAAUGAUAUACAAGCCAAGCUACUCGUACUCACUGCUUUGCAACCCUAGGCAUCAACUGUCAUAUUUGCCAUACUCGGAUGUUACAAGAUGGAAGUAUCAUAGUCCUUCAACAACUCCAUCGAUCUGCACUGGCAAGCAUUAAGCUCUCAUUGGGUCAAAAGAUGCCGAAGGCUACAAUAAUUGGAGAAGAUAUCACAAUACACACCAUACAAAUAAUUCCUCCAAAUCUUAAGCGUAAAAACUAUCGAUGCCAACUCCAAAUCAUGAGUUAGGUAGUUGUGAUCAUGUACCUUAAGUUGUCUAGAAGAAUAAGCAAUAACACAACCUUGUUGCAUCAAAACACAACCAAGACCGACACCAGAAGAAUCACAAAUCAUGGUGAAUCCCUCACUCUAAACUAGAAGAGAUAACACUAGAGCUGAAGUAAAACAAUUCUUGAGCUUCCUAAAGCUUAACUCACACUUCUCGGACCAGCGGAAAGGAACUUCCUUCUAAGUCAAUCAAUUCAUAGGGGCUGAAAUAUAGCAAAGCUAUUAACAAAAUACCUAUAAUAACCAACCAAACAAAUUAAAAUAUGAACCUCAAUUGAAGAUGUAGGUCUAUCCCAAUCACGAAUCACUGAGAUCUUAGUCAGGUCUACCAUAAUACCCAUUUUGGACACCACAUGUCUAAGAAAUGACACUGACUCAAGCGAAAAAUCACACAUAGAGAACUUGACAAAAAGCACAUGAUCUCUUAGAGUCUGGAGCAUGACCCUCAAAUAUUAUGCUUGCUCCUCACUACUCCUCGAAUAAUAAGAAUGUCAUCAAUGAACACAAUAAUAAAGGAGUCUAGGUAGGGUCUGAACACAUGGCUCAUAAAAUCCAUAAACACAGCUGGGGCAUUAGUCAACCCAAAAUACAUCACCAAAUACUCAUAAUAACUAUAAUGGGUCCUGAAGGCUGUCUUCGGGAUAUUCUCAGCUCGAAUCCUCAACCGAUGAUAACCUGAUCUCAAAUCUAUAUUAGAAAACAUGGUUGUGCCCUGAAGCAGGUCGAACGAAUACAAUCAUUAGCACAUAAAUUAAAAGAACUUACCAAGUCCAACAAAAUUACCAAGUUCAACAUGCAUACAAUUAUUAGGGCAUAAAGUAAAAGAACUUACCAUGGCGUACCAUUCCAUCGUGAAGUACACCCAAAGAACAUAAAGUAAUGAAUUCAUCACGGUGUCCCAUACCAUCAAAGAGUAAACUGAUAUAAUUCAUCAUCAUAUCAAUAUUUAUAUACAAAACCAACUGAUAUUUACCCAUGGUUUCCAUAUUUCCCUUCAUGGUCACAUGCCAAGAUCCAUAAUUAUCCUCAAAAACUGCAAAUCAAACAAAUGCAUACUGAAGUAAUCAUAACCAUAGUUAUAUAAAUAUUUAGACCUCUUACUCAUUAAUAUACUCUAUCUAGUCUAUAUUAACUAACCACCAUUUAUUAUUAAGAUACUAGUUCGCUAGUCAUCAUAAGGCCUCUAACCAUUAGUCCAAUCGAUUCCUCAUAUACUAUUUCUUCAUGGCGUAGCAACUAAUUAUGAUUCAUUAGAUAUCCAACAUCCAUAUCUAAACAAGAUGCAUCACAAAACCAUAAUCACUAUUUAACAACUUCAUUCCUAGUUAUCAUAGGAACACUAGUCACCAAGAUAGUGAGAAGCUACAUAUUACCAACACAUUUCUCUAUCUAUAAACCAACACCUUUUAUAGUUAGUACCAAAAUUAUCUAAGCCCUUAUUUAAGCAACCAACAACAUUACAUGCUAGAUAUCAAUAUCACUAAUCAUGCACAAUAUAAAGUGUAUUAUCAUCAUUAGUUAUUUUACAACCAUAAUUACUAGUUACCACAUUUUUAACUAAACAAGGUCUACCAACUAGUAUUGUAGGAUUCUAGCCAUCAAGUAAUAUAACCACUUUAUAAAGACAACUAAUUUUCACAUGACCCAUUUCACUAUGCGAAAUCUCAUAACAUAACCAUUUAUUCAAGACAAAUAUAUCCACUAGGUAAUUAUUUAAUUCUACACAUGAUUACAAUUACCAAAUAGUCUUAACUCAAUAUUCGACAUAUUUUACUUCUAUUCACAAAUUAGUACUAACAAGAGUUAAGCCACUUAACUAGUGAUUAACGAUAGAGAAUUAUAAACAAAAUUCCAAGAAAAACAUAAUAUCCUAAUUGCACAUACAAACUUAAUUAUACAAAGGCAUAACCACACACAUACGUAUAUAUUCAUAUAUGUUUAUCAUACAUACAUCAGUAUAAUAUCAAUAUAUCCUUCUGGUUUAUCGGUAAUCAUCAUAAAAUCAAUACCUCUUUUGUAUUUAUCAUCAAUUAUCACAUCAUCAACAUAUUCUCUGGAUUCACCAGUAUUAUCACAUCAUCAAUAUAUCUUUCAAAUUCACCGAGCAUUAUCACAUAAUCAAUAUAUCCUCCAAAUUCAUCGAGCAUCAUCAAUAUAUCCUUCAUAUUCAUCGGGCAUCAUCAUACCACUAAUAGUCAUCAUGAUAACAUUAAAUACAUACAUAUAUAGUCAAAUUGAUAACAAGUACAAGCCCACAACCAAUAGUUUAAGAGAGGUAAAGAAAUAUAUAUCAUGGUACUUUACCAUUAAUUAUCACCAUAUUAUAUGGGUAGAUGUAUGUGUAUGUAUAUUUAUAUGAUAUGAACAAACACCAGUUUUUUGAGCUUGACAUAAUUAGUAGCAAGUCAAUUAUAAGUCAUGGGUAUGCUUUCUAGAAUCCUUCUUUGCUCACAUGGUUCACAAUACUAGUGUAAGAAGGUCUUUUCAAAUAAACAUUAGUUUAGUAAUUAAGCCAAAAUCAUAAUAUGAGUUGUGAAAUAGUCCAAGGUUUAUAUAGUGAACUAGCUAAUAAGUUAAGUGAUAGCAUAACCACUAUUUCAAUUCACAAGACAUUCCAAUGCUAUCCAUAUCAUGAAAAUAAGAUAAUCAAUCAAGUAUACACAUUAUUCAAAAAUUGACAACAUUAAUAAACCAUUUACUGGUUUCCACCAUCAUAUUAUUAAAAACAAAAUCUAGGUGUUCAUCAUGUAUUUACUUCACUAAUGAAGUUAUACAGUUCAAGCUUAAGACGGGUCAAGUUCUAAUUAUAAUAAUCCCCAAGUUCUCUUCUAUAAGUCUAACUUUUACUCAUAUUUAGGCUAAUUUAUCUAAAUCAUGCCUUAAGGUCUACCAAUCCACACUAGUUCUAUAGGACAAUUUUUCUUUAAGUAUUUCUCCUAAGUAACCCCAAGCAUCCAAAGUUAUUCCACCGCUAAGCAUAUCUAGGUCAACAUACUUUUAAGGUGAGUGAACAAGGUCACUAUCAUCUACUAGAGCAACUAGAUAAUUUUUAUGCUCUUUAUGAGAUAACAAGUCCAACUAACCAAGGUUCUAGGCUACAAGUCAACUAUCUCACUUAAUGUGUUUCAAGACCUAAGUGAUCCAACUAGUCCCAAACAUUUCCAUAUACCAAUUCAAUAUCUAAGACCCCACCCAAUCUUAUCAAGAUAUCACAAUUAUACUAAAAUAAAGCUCAAUCUAACACAAGUAAUACUAACCUACCUUGAGUCAAAAUAGCUCACAAAUCAAUAAUCAUUUCUUUCCCUUUCCUCUAAGCUUCUUCCAUAAGCCAAGCGAUCAGCAACAUAAUAUAUGCAUUAUUAUAAGAAUAACAACACCCAUAUUGCACCAUUAUGUUUUGGGUCAAAAAUGGCAUCGAAAACCCCCAAGUGGGUCCUGCAUACAAAAAUGAAUUUCUGAGACCAACCUAUUGUUCAUAUACAGUUUGGGGCUAAAAAUCAAGCCUCAAGCCAUUUGAGGUUUUGGGUCUAAUAAUCAAUAAAUCAUUAACAAAAUUAAAGGAAUCUUACCUUAAAUUUGAUUUUAAUCACAAAUAUGCAAGUUGGUUAAGCUCCCAAUCAACACCUAAUGCACACUUUGUAGACUACUCUCUUCAUUACAGUUUUAGAGGCUCAAGACAAUGAAGAAGUGACCAAAUUUUGACUAAAAGAGGAUUUUAUAUGGACCAUUAUAGGACUCAAGAGUAGUAAUUGUGCACCUCUGGUAGACCGCGAUCGUGACCAUCAUGAUCGCACCUUACCUCGUGCAAUCGCUGCACCUUGGUGUACUACAUAAUGGCUGAAAAUUGAAAUUUGACUCCAAGUUUUGGCUAAGGUCUUGGGAUGCAUUUGGAAUCCAAUAUGAGCAAGCAAGAUAUGCAACUUUAUAGAUUUUGAUGUUUUGGAUGCCUUGGUGAAGUCGUAUUUUACAUCUAAUAUUAUUUUUAUAAUAUUUUUGCUUGGUGGCCAUUUGGAACCAAUGAAGACUUCAAAAUGGGGAAUUGAUUCUAACAACCAAACAAACUACUAGGUAACUGAACUAUUAAUUCCAACAAGUCAUAAAUGACUUGGGACAGUUAUGGGAAAGCUCUAUUGGUGAAAAUGAGUAGGAAUAUAGAAAAUGACCUAAAGAGUCAUCACAAUUGGUUGCAUGGGGUAAUAGUAAAUAUGAAUACUUGAUUUUUCUUGAGAAGCUAUUGAACAUCCUAAAUGAUUUAUCACAAAUGUUGUUGAACAAUGUAAUCAGUAUAUUUUAUAGGUAAAUGUAGUUUAAAAUCUAUUUUUAUUUAUGUGUUCAUAUUAAUUAUUUCUUCAUAUACCUAUUAGAAUGCAUGUUUUAAGAAGAGUAAGUUUUUAAUUACAUCCUAAGUGUUAAUCAUAUAUAAUAAGGUUAUAUUAAAGGUUUGUUGGUUGUAUAAGUGUGUUUGUAUUAUUCCUUUUAUAUUUGUAGCUAUUGUGAUAGCUGUAGUUAUUAUAAAAUGAGCAAUUAAAGGACAUAGACAAAGAAUUUAUUAUUAUUGUGCGAUUAGUAGGUAAAGGACCUCAUCAUAGAAUUUAUUAUUAUUAUAAGAUAAGUCAGUAAAGGACUUUAUAAUGGGUUUUAUUAUUAUUGUGAGAUGACUUGUUAAAGAAUAUCAUCAUGUAAUUGGUUUGAGAUAAGGAUUGAAAACACUAGAUAUCUAAUUAUUGGGGUACAUAAACUAAGCUUGUCUCAUGUAGGUCAUGGCUAGUGGGUGAUCAUAAGACCCGUAGCAUGUGUGUAUAAGUAUCGGUGAGUUUUAUAAUUUCUUGAGUGGACUGGGUUUUGUGUUGAUUUACUUAUAUUUGGUUCCUUGAGUAGACUAGGUUUGUUUGUUGACUUAAUUUAUAUUUGGUUCCUUGAGUGGACUAGUAGAUAGCAUUGGUGUUACAUUAGAUCCUUGUGUGUCCUGAGCUAUUGGCAUAAUUGGAAGGUAUAUGUAACGUCCCUUUUUGUCUUUUUGGGUAAUUCAAUCAUACAACAAUUAGGGUUAAGAUUUUCCCUGAAUUGGGAGUUAGAAAUUUAAGUUAGGCUAGGUUUAGAUAAAAUCUGAGCUGAAGUAUGGUCUAGGGAAAUUCAGAAAUGAAUUGGGUAAAAAUGGUUAGGUUUAGAUUAGUUGUAUGAUAGUUAACUCAUUAGGGAAUCUGUAGAAUUUUGUAGAAGUGAAUUCAAGUGAGUUGAACUCCCAAUAUUAAACUUGAUGUAAUGAGACUAGUCUAGAAUAUCAUGGUUUGACAUUCUGUUGUAAAAAAGGCAAAAUUAGAAGGAUUUUUGAGUUUUUGUCUUGCUACUCCCGCUUAGUGGGUGAUAUGUCGCUAUAGUGACUCCAUAUAUAGAAGAAAAAUUUUUGCUAUAGCAAAAGUCAGUACUAGUCAAUCCCACUAUAGUGGGUGAUGCCACUAUAGUGGGAUUAGAUUACUAUAGUGGGUUAAAUCGCUAAAAUGCAAAAAUUUCCCCAAAAUGCUUUAUAAUCUUAAACAUAUUUUGGGGAAGGUCAUAGGAAUUUGGGAAACUUUCCUCAGUCUUUUGUCAAUUUUCUUCAUAAAGGUAAGUAUUCCAUCUCCAUUAACUAGUUUUGACUUAAUUAACCUUCAAAUUCCUAGUUUAUAGAUUUUGGAGAGGGUUUAAGCUUAUAUUCAGUUUUUCUGGUGAAAGAGGGUAAAUUAAUUGUCAAACCAUUGGGCUUCAGUUGUUAAUCAUUAAUUUACUCUUGAAUAUCCUUAAUUUUCUAGUGUAACCAUGAUAUUGGUAGUCCUAAGGUAAACUAAUAGAGGGAAAACCCUAGAAUGGGUGGUGUGAUCAUGAAUUUUUUGUAGGGGUUUCAAAUUCGAUUAUAAUUCUUGUCAUUGUAGGUCAUUGGUUGAUUGUGUACUUUACUCAUAUUUUUAGAUAACAACUAAGUGGAAAUUACACGAAAAGGUAACAGUCAAGUUUAAUAGAGUGGUCCAAGCUUGGAUUGAGGUUGGUGAUGAUUUUAAUAUAGUUAAAACACAAUUUGUGUAAUAUGUGCAUGAUAAAAAUUCUUGGUAUUUUUUGUACAAUGCAUGUUCAAGGAAAGUCAAUGAUCAUUUGAUAUCCUAAGUAUUAAUCCCAUACAAUGAACUUACAUAAAAUUUUGUUGGUUUUUACAAGUGUUGUUUGAUCAGCAUUGUGAUUACAAUUAUUAUGAUAUUUAUCAUUAUUAAAUGUACCAGUGUUUAGACAUCUCCACGAGUUUAGUUGAUAUAAGGUUGACCGAUACUUGAUGUCUAGGAUUUAGUAUAUGGACAAGAGCUCGUGUUCUAUAGGUCAUGACUUAUGGGGUACAAAUAUAAGACCCUUAGGAUGUGUGUACAAGGUGUAGGUGAGUGUGACAGUCCUUAAGUAAACUAAGGAUUAUGUGAUUUUUUUUAUUAUAUUGGUUCUUUGAGUGAAUUGGGCUUACGUAUUUCAUUAUAUGUUGGUUUCUUAAAUGAACUGGGUUUAUGUGCUUAAUUGUUAAAGGUAGUUUCUUUAUAUAAAUAAAAAUGCAUAAUAUUUAUCAUUGUUAUUGUUCUUGUGGAUCCUUGUAUGGUUUGGGUUAAUUGCAAAUUAUGAUGUAACUUUGUGUUGUCUAUUACGUAUGUAAAUUGGGAUAUGAAUUAUUUCAAAGUUGUGUCAUGGGUGCUGACUUGGAGUAUUAUUGAUAGUCUUGUUUGACUUGACUUGUUAUCCUUGUUGACUUAUAUGAACUAUACUUCAGGUGGUAGUUUUUACGAGGCUAAAUGUUAUGAACUUGAAAUAGAGUUGCAUGAUAGGGUUCACGGUUUUCUUGUUGUACUACAUUUUGGUUAUGUGCCCAUAUUUAUUUUUAUGGAUUGGUUGAUGGCCCUAUUGGCACACCGUUAUUUCUUGUGUGUUGAUACUACAUGUGCUCUUUUUUUUAUUGAGUGCAGACCAUUUACUAGUGACUAUUUGGAGACCUCAGUUGUGAUUUAGACCGUAUCCAAAUUCAAGGGUGAGUUGCAUCUUACAGGCUAUAAUGGGUUCAUCUACUAUUUUGUCGUCUAUUUGUUUUGGAAUCAGACACUACAUUGGUUAGUUGGUUUACACCCCCAAUUUUUUAGAUUUAUUAGAGGUUUGGUAUAAUGAAUUUCAGGUCUUAGGGGAUGGUUUUCCACAUUUAUUAUAUUUCUCUUGUUAUGUUAUGGUAUUGGAUAUUGAUUUUAUUCAGUGAAAUUGGUUUAGUUGCCUAGUUUUGGCUAAGUGUUGGAUUGAUUGGUUGGGUUAAUUGGUUCUCCCACUGGAUAUUUAGAGUGGGUUCCACUCAUGAUAGGUUUGGGUUAUGACAAAGUUGGUAUCAGAGCCUUAGAUAUAGAGCCCUAAAUUUGUUGACCUUAUUGUACAAAAAUAGGUCCAGUAGAAUCUUGCAGAAUAGUACGAAGAUGCUUGUACUUUUUUUUGAUAAGUUAUAGAACCUUAGAAAACUAUCUAUUCUUUCUUAUUUUGUGCUAUAACUUGACUCCAAUUGGUAUCUAACCUUCUUUAUUUUUUCCAUUGAUGGUGAAUACUAGAUCAAAUGGAAUACGUGUAGAAGCCUACGCACCAGUAGCUCCAACUGCUGGUUGUUUGGGGAUGAGGAUGAGGUAGGUGCAAGGGAACGAGAAAACAGAGAGCAACACCUGCCAGAUAUAGAGAUCAGGCAUCAGUUGACCAAGCUUAUCAGAGGUCUAUAUUACCUCCCCUACCCCGGGAUCAUUUUAAGGAGGCUAAGGCAGGGGUCGGGGAUAAUAUGGAAUUAGAGUUGGUGCCAUUGGUUGGAGGUUCAGUCCUUUCUCUGAUAUCUGCUAAGGUUGGUCAGCAAGUUCUAUUUUUUCUAAGUGGAUUAGCGGGUAUUGGAGCCACUCCCAUUGUACCAACUUUUCAAGUUUUUGCUGUUUAUCCCACUUUUACUUUAGCUACCAAAAUAGAUGACUCUUUGGGGACUAAUGUAUUCCCUUGUCCUUUCUUAGGACUCAUCAUGACUGGUACCAAACAUGAGUUGCUAACUAAGUUUUUAAAAAUUAAACCUCCUUAAUUUUAUGGUGCUGAGACUGAGGAUUCUUUUGAAUUCAUCAUUGAUCAUUAUGGGAGGCUUUAAAAAUUAAGGAUUGUCCAAUAGCAUGUUAUUGAGUUUGAGACUUUCCAACUAGAAGGAGAUCCCAAGUAGUAGUGGAGAGCUUGUGUAGAGUCUCAGUUGCUGAUAUUACCUCCAUUGAAUUAGGCCUAGUUUUAUGCCCUAAUUUUGGAAAAGUAUGUGUCCGAACCCUUCAUGACUACUAGAAAUAUGUCUUUUUGGAUCUUGAGAAGGAAAGUAUGUUAGUUGCAACUUAUGAGGCUAAGUUCCAUGCUUUGUCUCGCUAUGCUACUUAAUUGUUGGGCAUUGAGGAGAAGAGGAUUCAGUUAUUUAUUAGGGGCUUAGACAUUAAUCUAUAGGUAUUGCAUGUUCACAAGACUUCUGUAUGAAAGAGUUUCAAUGAUAUGGUUGAUUAUGUGAAGAAGCUUGAGGGACUCAAGAAGGUAGGUCAAGAUAAUGCAUUAGCCAAGAUUUCUAAGAAUGCGGAUAACUUUUGUGGUUUUAAUUCUAGGGAUCACAACCAUAAGUCUCAUCUAUAUCUCCCCAUUCAGUCAGUAUUGCCAACCUUUAUAGGUGGUUCUUCAAAGGUUAUUCAUCAACCCUCAAUUGCUAAAGGCUAAGGGGAUUCUUAUUUUUUAACCAAUAGUCCUUCUCUUGAGCGAGGUGUUAUUAUUGUGAUAUUAUAGGAAACUUCAAUAGAGAGUAUCCUUUAAGGAAGUAAUUGGUAAUUAGGCACAACAGAAGAAUGAGGUUGUAGUUCCAAAAGGUAGAGGUAGAGAUAGUAACGGUAAGGGUCAUCCAUAGGGUGAACGAGGUAAAAAUUAUGGAGUUUAUCAUGGAAACAAAGGUAGUGGCAAUGUAGGAAAGGGUGGAGCACAGCUAGUGAGAGAGGUUUCCUAGCUUAAAGAUGGAUCUCACUAUUAUGCCUUCCCAGGUAAGACCAAAGUCGAGGCAUCGAACGUUAUUAUUGUAGGCACUCUUCUUGUCUAUGACCUGAUGGUUUUUAUUUUAUUUGAUAAAGGUUCCACUUAUUCUUAUGUAUUUGUUAGAUUUGUUUUAGGACUAGAUUUGAAUUUUGAUGUACUCGAAUCUCCUAUGUAUGUUUGUUGGAGAUUUUGUGGUGGCGACCCAUGUAUAUCGUGCAUGUUCUAUAUUGUUUAUGGGUUUGCAGACCUGGGUAGACUUGAUCCUUUUGGACAUGCUUGAUUUUGACAUUAUUUUGGGUAUGACUUGGUUAUCUCCCUAUCGUGCAGUCUUGAAUUAUAAUGCUAAUACAAUGAAUCUAGAAAUACUUGAGAGGGAUAAGCUAGAGUAGGAGGGAGAUUAUAAGUUUAAGAUAGUGAAAAUCAUAUCUUUUGUCCAGGCUAGAAAGCUAGUCAGGAAGGUGUGCUCAGCUUUCUUGUCCCAUCUUUGGGAUGUUAUUCAAAAUCUCCUUCUAUUGAGUCUGUUCUUAUGGUUUCUAAUUUUCAGGAGGUAUUUUUUUAUGCAUUCGUCUGGUAUGCCUCCAGACAGGGAUAUUCUUUUUGUAUUGAUUUGGAGCCAGGCACUUGGCUAAAUUCUAUUCCUCCUUAUUGCGUCACUCCAACAAAGUUAAGGGAACUCAAAACUCAGUUAUUGGAAUUCUUAAUAAGGGAUUCAUUCAUCCAGUGCUUCACCUUGCGGUUCUCUAGUGUUCUUCGAUAAUUUUAAGAUGGUAGUAUGCAGAUGUGAAUUGAUUAUAAAUAAUUAAAUAAGGUUACCAUCAGGAAUAAGUAUCCCUUGCCCUGUAUUGACGAUCUCUUUGACUAGUUAUAGGGUGUUUUAGUAUUCUCCAUGAUUGGCUUGAGGUCGGGUUACCAUCAACUGAAAUUCAACCUAAGAAUAUACCCAAUAAAGCUUUUAGGACUCGAUAUGCAUAUUAUGAGUUCUUAUGGAUGUUUUUUGGGUUGACGAUUUUGUCAGCCCUUCAUGAGAUUGAUGAAGGGUAUUUUCAAGUCCUUUUUUAUUUUUUGUGAUAGUUUUCAUUGAUGAAUAUUGAUUUACUCCAAGAGCAAGGAGGAACAUGCAUGUCAUUCUCACAUUGUCUUGGGAAUUUUUAAGAAGAAGCAAUUAUAUGCAAAGUUCUCAAAAUACAAGUUUUGGUUAUCUGUUCUUACCUUCUUAGGACAUAUGGAUUUAGUAAAAGGGGUGAUGGUAUAUCCCCAAAAAAUUGAGGCAGUUAAGAAUUAGGUUUGGCCUAGUUCUAUGACUAAGGUUAGAAGUUUCGUAGGUCUUGAUAGUUAUUAUCAUAGAUUUGUCAAGAAUUUUACCUUUAUUGCUACUCACUUGAAAAGGUUGACUCAGAAGAGAAUGCCAUUUGUAUGGUUGGAUAAGUGUUAGGAGUGAUCCCAAAAGCUCAAGACAUUUUUUACUACAACUUCUAUUCGUAGAUAAAGGUAAGGAUUUUAUUGUAUUUUGUGAUGCUUUAUACUUGGGUUUGGGUGUUAUAUUGAUGCAGGCUAUGAACAUUAUUACUUAUGCUUCAUCCAGUUGAAGCCUCAUGAAAAUAAUUAUCCAACUCAUGACUUGGAGUUAGAAUCAAUGGUGCUUGUAUUUAAGAUUUAGAGACACUACCUUUAUGGUGUCAAGUGUGAGGUAUACAUAGACCAUCGUAGCCUGCAGUAUGUGUUCACCAAAAAGGAUUUGAACUGGAGAUAGAGGCGAUAGAGGGAAUUGUUUAUAGACUAUGAUAUAACUAUCUAGUAUCAUCUGGGCAAGGUUAAUGUGGUGGAAGAUGGAUUGAGAAAAAAACAAUAAGUAUGGGCAGCUUGACCUUUUUGAGGGUGUCAAGGAAACCCUUGGCUAGGAGUUUCAAGUUAUAGAAUUUCGGUUCUUGUAGUAUGGUAUUUAAGAAAGGGAUGGGAUUUGGCUAAUAUUGAGGUAAAUUCAUCAUUCCUUGAUAAAAUAAAGGCCACACAGUUUGAAGAGGAGAAUUUGACUAGACUCUAGAACAAGGUGGUUUGCAAUGAGGCUUCAAACGCCACCCUUGAUAUGUGUGGAAUAUUUUGUUUUAUAUUAAAAAUAUGUGUUCCUCGGUUAGGUUAUUUGAUUCAGAAUAUGUGUGUUGAAGCUUAUGAUUUGCUAUAUUAUAUUCAUUCAAGUGCAACCAAGAUGUAGCGUGACUUGAGGCAACUUUAAUGGUGGGCUGUAAUGAUGAAGGACAUAGUGGAGCCUGUAUCCAAUGUCACAACUGCCAGCAGGUAAAGUACGAACAUCAAAGGGACAUUGUUGACUGAAACUUAAAGGAAAAAUUGCAUAACUUCUUGCCAGGAUAUCAGAUCGAGGGGAGACUUACAGCAUUGUAAAUCGAACUUAGUGGCCUAUCUUUUGAGGGGUGUGGAGCUUGAAAAUUCUGGGUAUUAUGAUAUCUCCCCCUUGGGAUCAUUUGUUCCCAAAUAAAACUAUCCGAAUUGGAAUACUAGGGAAUUUAGAUCAUCCACUAAACACUUAUGAGCUGAAUUAUGACUAAAUAUCUAGAUCAAAAACAUAAUGCAUGGAUUGAACUAAAAUCAUGAAUGCAUACUAUGACAUGAGGAUGGACGGAUAGCUGAGAAAGAAAGUGAGAGAACUGAUUAACAAAGAAAACCCUUACCUCAAGAUGAAUUUGGAUUCAAAGAGAAAAUAUAGGGGUACUUGGCUUGCAUAUCAGCUUCUGCUUCCCAAGUAACUCCCUCAACUAACUGAUUUCUCUACAGAACUUUCACUAAAGAAAUAUCUUUAUUCCUCAACCUACGAAUUUGGCGGUCAAGGAUCUUAACUAGGACUUCUUCAUAUGAGAGGCUAUCUUCCAUGCCCACACUUUUUAAAGGAAGGACUGAAGCUGGAUCACAAUGUAUUUCUUUAGCAAAGAGAGAUGGAAUACUGGAUGCACUGAUGCUAACUCUGUAGGCAACUCUAACUCAUAGUCUACCUAUCCAAAAUGACUCAAAAUCCUAUAUGGGACAACAUGGUGGGGACUGAGCUUCCAUUUUUUACGAAAUCUCUUCACCCCUUUCAUGGGAGAAAUUUACAAAUACACUAAGUCGCCAAUAUCAAACUCAACCUCCCUCCUCCUGAUGUCUGCAUAGGAUUUCUAUCGACUCUGGGUUGUUUUAGCCUUUCUCAAAUCAACUAAACUUUCUCCAUCACCUCAUACACUAAGUUUAGACCUAAUAAAGCAGCUUCGCCAACCUCAAACCAACCAAUAGGAGAUCUACACCUCCUACCAUAAAGUGCCUCAAAUGGAGCUAUCUGAAUAUUAGAGUAGUAGCUGUUAUUGUAGGAAAACUCAAUCAAAUGCAGGUGAUCAUCCCAAAUACCCAUGAAAUUGAUAACACAAGCCCUCAACAUGUCCUCUAAGGUCUUAAUGGUCCUCUUUGCUUGACCAUCUAUCUGGGGGUGAAAAGUCGUACUGAGAUGAACUUGGGUACCAAGACCUUUCUGAAAAGCCUUCCAAAAAUAAUAGGUAUACUAAGUACCUCUAUCUAAAUUGAUGGUCAAUGGGACUCCAUGUAACUUUACCAACUCUUUAAGAUAGAGCUAGGCACAACCCUUGGGAAAAUAUGAAAUAUGGGUUGGCAAGAAAUAGACUGACUUGGUUAUUCUAUCCAUAAUGACCCAAAUAAAAUCAUGUUGACGACACAUAUGAGGUUCCCCUAUGACAAAGUCCAUAUUUACCACUUCCCACUUCCAAGUGGGGAUGUUAAAUUCCUGAGGAAUACCACUAGGCCUCUGGUGAUCAACCUUAACUUGCUGAUAAUUUAAAAACUUAGCCACGAAUUCCAUAAUAUCAUUCUUCAUACUAUUCCACCAAUAAACUUCCAAUAAAUCAUGGUACAUCUUAGUGGCUCCACUAUGAAUAGAAUACCGUGAACUAUGUCCCUCUGCUAACAUUUGCUGCCUCAAAUCACCCACAUCCGAAACACAUAAUCUACUCUGACAAUGAAGUAAAUCAUCUUCCCCUUCGGAAAAAACCUCAACCUUCUAAUCCCGAACUGCCUCUUUCAACUUAACCAAAAUAGGAUCUUCGUUUUGCUUCUCUUUUACCUUGGAAACCAAGGAAGAUUCCAAACCAUUUUGAACACAUACACUACCUUCAGCUGAAUCAACCAACCAAAAACCCAAUCUAGCAAGAUGAUGAACCUCACAGACUAACUCUUUCUUAUUAUCCUCCACGGAGUAACACUCUCCAUAAACAAUUUACUAAGGGCACUUCUAUAAUAUUCGCCUUACACAGGUGAUACAAUACACUUAUAUCAUAGUCUUUUAGUAAUUCUAUCCACCUUGUUUGAUAAAUAUUUAGGUCAUUAUAAGUGAACACAUAUUGUGAACGCUUUUGACUAGUAAACACAUAACAUGAACCCCAUAAAGGUAACGCCUCCAAAUCUGUAAGGCAAAAACAAUUGUUGCCUACACAAGAUUGUGAGUCUGGUAGUUCUUCUCAUGAGGUUUAAGCUGUCCAGAGGCAUAGGCUAUAACCUUACGCAUUACAUCAACAUACAACCUAGAUCAACUCUAAAAGCAUCACAGUACACUACAAAACCAUCUAAGUUCUCUAGAAGGGUCAACGUUAGAGAAAAAGUGAGUUAAGUCUUCAACUGCUGAAAACUCUUCUCGCAGGAAUUGGACCACUAAAAUUGGAAUUUCUUCUGAUUCAAUCUAGACAUAGGAGAAUAAAUAGAGUAAAAUCCCUCAACAAACCAUUUGUAGUAACCAGAUAAACUCAAGAAACUCCUAAUAUCUGAUGGAGGGGUGGGUUUAGUCCAAUUUAGUACUGCUUUAGUUUUUUUAGGAUCAAAUCAAAUGUGAUCAACAGCAAUGAUGUGACCAAGGAAGGCUAUUGAUUUCAACUAGAAUUCACACUUGCUGAACUUAGUGAAUAACUGGUGUUCUUUAUGAGUUUACAAAAUAAUCCUUAAAUGGUUUGCAUGUUCAUUUUCACUACGAGAAUAGAUGAGAAUAAUAUCUAUGAAAACUAUGACAAACAUAUCCAAAUACUUCUUGAAUACUUUUUGCAUCAAGACAUAACCACAAAUUCAAAGUAACUAUACUGAGUUCUGGAGGUUGUUUUCGAAAUAUCACUUUUUUUAUUCUGCGAUGAUGAUAGACGUAUAUGAGAUCUAUCUUAGAGGAACAAGUAGCACCUUGAAGUAGGUCAAAAAAUUCAUCAAUCCUUGGGAGCGGAUACAUAUUCUUGAUUGUGACUUUGUUCAACUGAUGAUAGUUGAUGCACAUUCUGAGAAAACUAUAUUUUUUGUGCACAAAGAGAACUGGGGUACCCCAUGGGGAAUACUAGGACUGAUAAAGCCCUUAUCUAAGAUAUUUUUCAACUGUUCUUUAAAUUCCUUAAGCUUGGCUGGAGCCAUUGUGUUAGGUAGAAUUGAAAUAGGCUAGGUGUUUGAGAGGAGAUCUAUUCUAAAGCCGAUUUCCCCCACGGGAGGAACUCGGGGCAGAUCUUCAGGAAAUACCUUUGGAAAAUAAUUAACUACUGGAAAUAAUUCAAGACUUGAAAUCUCAUAUUUGAGUUCUUUAUUUGGACAAGAUGAUAUAUGAAACCCUAAGAUCUCAUCUUCCUUGCCUUAAUGUAGGAGAUGAAUCUACCUCUAUGCAUGGAGGUACUAACCUUUUAUUCUUUGACUAGUUUGUUAGGAAACUUGAAUUGGACUAUUUUAUUUCUAUGGUCAACUGAUCCAUAAUAAGAGUGGAGACAAUCCAUGCCAAGAAUGACAUCAAAAUUGGUCAUCUCUAAUUUUAUAAGAUCAACUGAGGUAACUUUCUGGGACACUGUGACUGGAUAGUUUUUGUACACCCAUUUACCUAUGAUGCAACUACCUACAAAAAUGAACAUUGUAAAGGGUUCUGCAAGAAUUUCAAGGUUGGCGCUAAAGUUUAUGACUAUAUAAAGAGUCACGAAGGAUAGUGUGGCUGUAGGAUCUAAUAAUGCAUACACAUAAAGGUGAAAGACUUUUAACAUACCAAUAACCAUAUCAGGAGAACUUUCCUGAUCCUGUCGAGUCUAAAGGGCAUGGAGGCAAUUCUAAUGUUGUCCACUAGUGGCACUAGAAGUGGCACCUUGCUGACUUAGGUAUCCUGCUGGGACUACAGAAGAGUUAGUUGGGCCCUGUUAAUAAUUAUUUCUUUCUUGUUGGGCUACUGCAGGACAUUUCCUUUUUUGAUGGCCUGACUUGCCACACCUAAAACACACAUCAUUGCCUACCAAGUACUCACCCUUGUGGUUCUUACCAUAUUUUUUCCAAACUCGGUUAGUGUGACCUCUAUUCACAAUACCCUAGUAUUUGGAGCUUGUUGCUCUAGCUUGAUUAUCCUAUCUUAACUUAGGAAUUAGAGAACUGGUAAAAGAUAGGGCUAAAGCUGAGGAUUUUUGGUAAAACUAAGGAUGAUUACCACCUUAUGACCUCUACUGAGAGAAGUUAAAACUACCAGUGCUGUCCCUCUUAUUCUCUUUUCCCUUUCUUUCUUUGAGCUUCUCCUCCCCAGUUUGCUGAGCAUGAACCAUUAAUUUAUAAAGGUCCAUUUCCUUAAUCAACAUAGUUAUCCUACACUCCUUGACAAUAACUUCUGAAACUCCAGAUAUGAACUUACUCAUCCUAGCCCUAGAAUCAGCCACCAUAGUCAGAGCAUAUUUUGCUAACUUGGUGAACUUGAGUGAAUACUCCUUCACACUCAUGUUACCCUACUUCAAAUUAAUGAAUUUUUACACCUUGGCCUCCCUCAAUUUGAGUGGGAAGAACCAUCUAAGAAAGUAGUAGUAAACUCAUCCCACUUCAAAGGCCCUACAUCAGCUCCUCUAUUUUUAUUUCAUUACUUAGCCUAGGCAUAAGCCACCCCUUGAAAUUGGUAAGCAGCAAAAUUAACACUCUCACUCAAGGUAGUACCCAUAAUAUUAGUCGCCUUCUAUACAUAAUCCAAAAACUCCUAUAGGUCCUCCUUAGACUUGGAUCCAGAGAAUGAUGGGGAUUCAUCCAAGUAAGAUCUCUAAUUCUAGUUGAUGUCAUGUUCACCACAGAAUUGGAAGUGAAAAUGGCCUACUGAUUGUUUGGGGCAGCCACAAAUUGGGUUAAGUAGGUAAAAGCUGCCUUGAAUUUAGCAUGAGAGACCUGCUUAUUUUGAGGGUCUUCAAGAAUAAGUGGUCAUGUAGGCUAGUCCCUAUUUCUCCUCCCAUUAGCCCUUAUAAGAGGCAUUUUUAUAAAUGGUAGAGAAAGAGUUAGAAGAUGGAGUUUAACAGAACUCAUGCUCCAUUGCACGAAAUGAAUACUGGAAAAAGGAGACUUUCCUAAAAUAUUUCAUUGCCUCUCUCCCAUAAAUGUGGUGCUCUUUAUAUACAUGAACGAGACUUUAAUUAAUAUAGAUUUCAGACACCCUAGGAAUCUUUAAACCUUGUGUUCUAAAACCAAGUUUGUCACUACUCGAGACUACCCCUAGUCGUAAUAUGGUGCUUAAGGUUAUAAGUAACCCCAAGAUAACCUAUGAUCUGGCAUAAUCUAUAAUUAUAAAAAGGAAGGUAACAAAAUACUAUGAAAAAUUCAUUGAAAAGUGUCUAAUGAUCGAAACAAUAUCAAGUGUAACUGAAAUAUAUUCCUGGAAAACACAUCUAACUAACUGAUUGUCUAAAAACCUCUAAACAUGAUGAGUUGUUAGGAAAGGUCCCUAACUAACUUAGACUGACUAAAAUAGCAUGAAAUAAAAUACUGGGAUGAAUAACUAAUAUUAUAAAUAGUCCUUGAUUGAUGAGGACUCACCAAUAUUAUAGCUUAGUGGCACAAGAAUGGACUAUGCACGAUUUGGGAAUCGAGCAUACGAACCUAUGUUAUAAGACAACAUAGCGCAAAAAGAGUAAAGGAUAAAUACUUUAAAUAUAUUGGUAUGCGAUAUGGAAGCUAGCUACUAUACAUAUAUACCGAGCAUGAAUGCAUAAUCAUGAAAAAUUUAAUGCAAGAUCAAGUAUAAACAUGUACUGAAAUAAUCUGAAUAACUAGAUGACUGAGAUAGAACACUUGGUCAUGCAAACCAGAACUGAACAUAAUUUGAAUAACUAAACUAAGGACUGUGGGAGCUAACUACAACAGACGUACCCUAAUCUGAGCUAAUCGAGGUCCAACCUGUAACCUUAGUUGGAAAGGUGUCGAUAUCUUGUUAAGGCUACCAACAUUUACCAAUUUAGAUCCACUAAUUUGAUGACCCAAGGAAUAGGGUGUUAAGCCUAAACUAAUGGGUGACCCCUCAUAACUUAUACUGGCAACGUAGUUCUAGAACUUAGGGACUGCUACUAACAACUCUACCUAACUGAUGAGGGAGCCAUCAUCCUUGCGUUUACCCGGUGCUAAGUAUUACUCCCAACUAAAAGACUCUGAAGUUUAAAUAAAACAUAAAUUGAAUAAUGAUAUGCUCAAGUCAUGGCAUUCUAAAAUUAAUAUUGUAUACAUAACUAAAGGAAUCAUGAACUUGUAAAGUGAUGCAUAUUUAUUACCUUGGUAUUGGGUGCUUAUAACCCACCAGCAUAGAGUACUGCAAUUGAUCAUAAAAGUGGUAAAACUGACCAUAAUAAGGAAAAUCAUAAUUAAUAAUCGCAUUGUCAAUAACUAGUUUCUAUAUAGACAAUUAAGAUUAUCAAACAUAUGGAAACAUAGUUCUCAUGAGGGAACAUAUUUUCAUGGUACAUAACCCAACAUAACUUGGGGAGAGUUCAUAUAAUUCAUAUUUAACUUGAAACUCUAUAAAAAGGGAAAAGGUGUUUGUAUUUGUAAAUUUUGAGAAUUUUUUAGAGCUCAAUGGGUGAAAGGGGCCCAUUGAUGAAUAUCCUACAUACCUAAGAAUAAAUGCCUUGGUGAAAUCCUUGAAGAUGAUAUUGUUCUUGGGAAACCCUAGUUUUCUCUUGAGAAAGAAGAAAAUCACUUUUUUUUUGUUAGGAGAAGUGAUUUUUGAUAUUUUGAGGGAUUAGGGUAUUUUUUACCCUUGAUAAAUGACGUUUUGGGAGCUCAAAUGAUUAGGUUUGGGUUAAAAGGGGUGGAAAUUACCAAAAAUACCUUAUUAAAAAUAUGCAGGAAUUUUGUUCCUAGUCAUUAUGACUUACCUCACAACUCAUUAUGACUGGUCAUGAGUCAUGGUCUGAGCUAUAACCAGGAACUCUGAGGUCUAGAGUUCUUUUUUAUGAUUAUGACCUUCCUCCUACGACUCAUUACAACUGGCUACGAGUCGUAGUCUGAGACUUGAUUCUUGGAUCCUUUACUGGUUAGGCUAUGGGCCCACACAAUGACUUGUAAUGUUUGACUAUGAGUUUUGUGCUAUACUAGUAACCACUGGAAUGGAUUCUUGGUUAAAGAUGGUUAUGGCUAUGAGUUCCCUCCUAGCGACUCGUAAUGUCUGAUUACAAAUCAUGGAGUAGAGUUAUGGUCAUUGGGCUAAAACUUAAGGUUCUUUCAGUUAUGAGUAGGACUACUCAUAACAUUUGAUUAUGGGUUAUCACAUGAUUCGUAGACACUAGCAGCUGACUGACACUUAAAGGGAAAAUUGCAUAAACUUCUUACCACGAUAUCAGAUCGAAGCGAGACUUACAGCAUUGGAAACCCAACUUAGUGUCCUAUCUUUAAAGAGUUUAGAGAUUUAUAAUUUGGGAUAUUACAGGUAUAUUAAUCCAUUCCAGGUUCAUAAGGAUGCGAGUUUAGUAGCACAUAUAUUAGCAUUAUCGCCAAGCUUGUCGGUGGUCUAUCCAGUGUUUUAUGUAUCCAUGCCUAAGUGGUAUCAGAUGGAUUAAAAUUAUAUUAUUAAGUACAAUCUAAUUCUUUUAAAAAAGACCAUACUUAUAAGGAUGAGCCGAUUGUUGAUGAUAGGCGAAAUUACGCGCCUAUAUCAAUAUAUUUUGCCCAUAUUUUAGCCUAGUUUCGAGAACUAAUUAUCUAUUUCGUACACUUUUAGUCCUUUUUCCUGUAAAUGAGCUAACAAAUGUGAUUAGGAAAGUUUCAGGUAUAAAUGAUGCAAAAUACAGCAAUUUAUGGCUUACUUGACGCAAAAGAAAGCUCACAAACGAGAUGGAAAGGAGCUGGACGCAUAAAGGACUAAAUCUGCUGCAUGGAAAAUCUGUCCCGGGCUAAAACAGCAUUUCUGAAGACUUUGGGACUUACAGACACAAAGCUGGAUUUUUGCCAUAAUACAUUAACCUAGUGCAAUUAGGUUAUGUGUUUCAUCAUUCUAUUUGGAUUAUAAUUUUGUAACCUUACCCUAGUACAAUUGGGUCAAGGAUUUCAUUAGUAUAUUAGGAUUUGGUUAUUUAUUUUAUUAGUUUAGUAGGAGUAGGAUAGGAGUAUUAUAAAUACCCUAUCAUGUUAGAGAUUUUAAAAAGAGGAAAGAAAAGGGGGAGACAUUCUGACAAUUCAUUCAUCUCCUUACAAUUAAGACAUCUUCCUACAACCCAUUCUCAAUUCUUCAUUCUUCUACUCUUAAAUUCCACAACAAGAGAAUCGUUACUUGCUACGGAAUCACUAAAACCACACGCCAAACACCUACUAUUCACGCCAUCCACCAUGCAAAACGUGAUAUCCUUCGCAUUCAUGGGUAACUAAAUCUCUUAGUUGGGGUUAUGGAAGCCGAAUGAGUUACUAUCUAUAGCUAUGAGUUUGUGAGUUCAAGACAAGUAUAUUGCUUAUAUCAUUAUUCUCUUCAUCUUAAAUCUACAUUCUUUGCGGUUCAAACACAAGAACACGCCAUUCUAACAUCUAACCUGUUCGAGAGAAAGGUUAUUUGUCUAGAAAAGAAGACGCAUAGACCAACGCCAGUCUAACAUCUGACUUGUUCGAGAGAAAAGUUAUUUGUCUGGAAAAGAGAUAAUGUCAAGGUAGUAGGACACCCUUUCCUAUUAAAAAGCUAGUGCCGUACCUGGACUAACUUCUUGGAGAAUUCGUACCGUUAGUCACGCUUUAAGCUCGAGAGAGUUAAAGUGAAAUAGUCCUUGUUUAGGUCGAGAGACGCUUGGAUUUACCAUCGACUACAAUUCUCUAUAAGCAAUUACAUGUCAAGACUCUACACACUCAUAGCCAAUAGAGACGUAUACCUCAGAAGGUGGACAUAACCCCAACGCCUCAAUUCUCAUUGUUUACAACACACGUGACAAUCUCUCUUUAUUUUGCUAUUUUCAGUUCUUACAUUCUUGUUUUGGUUACAUACUACAAUCCCCCCUUUCCUACGAGACUUGCACUAAAAGUCUAGUAAUUUCUCUUGCUUGUUGGCCAAGCUAUUCUCUGUGGGAUCGAUACCCAACCCAGGUUGGGUUCUAUAUUUGCUAACGACCGCUUUACACUCCCACGAGAGCUGUAGAUUGAGCGUUAUCAAAAAUUGGCGCCGUUGCCGGGGAAUACGAGUGUCAAUCAAGUUCGUGAAAAUUACUAGACCCUUUGGUCAAAGAUUCUCGUACUUUUACGUUUAGUUUUUGUUUUUGUUUAUUGCAGGUUUUUCUUUUAGUGCAUGCCCCAUACUAGAAGUUCUGGUCAACCGUUAUUACCAAUCAAUCCGGAACCACAACGAAUCAACUCUUUCCUUGUUUGAUCAUUCAGGUAUGAACGAUGGGUAAAUUGUAUCUAUUAAAAUGACUCUUUAAAUUGUAAUGGAUAAGUCAACCAUAUAAAAAUUUGGGUUAAGAUUUUCCCCAAGUUGGGAGUAAGAAAUUUUAGGUUAGCCUAGGAUAGAACAAAAUUUAAGUGAGGUAUGGUUUAUGGAAAUCCAGGAAUAUAUUGGAUAAAUAUGCUUAAGUUUAGCUUAAUUUUAUGAUAGUUAACUUGUUAAGGAAUCUGUAGAACUUUUUAGAAGUUAAUACGGGGGAGUAGAAUCAAUAUCAAACUUGACACAAAGGAGUUAGUCUGGAAUGUCAUGGUUUGAGGGUGUGUUACUGAAAAGGCCAAACUGGAAGGAUUUCAAAGUUCUUGUCUUGCCACUCCCGCUAAAGUGGGUGGAAUAUCUCUAUAGAGACUCCUGAUAUUGAGGAAAAAUUUUUUCUAUAGCAGAUGUCAACACUGGUCAAGCCCUCUAUAGCAGGCAAUAGUGAGCUAAAUCGCUAAUAAUGCAAAAAUUUCCCCAAAAUGGUUUAUUAUUAUAAACUCAUUUUUGGGGAAGGGCAUAGGGGAUUUUCCUCAAUUUUCCAUCAAUUUUAUUUUUAAAGGUAAGUAUUUCAUCCCCAUUAACUAGUUUUUGGGUUAAUAACCUUAGAAUUACUAUUUUAUGGGUCUUGGGGAGGGUUGAAGCUUGCUGUAGCAAAUUUUAUGGUGAAAGGGAGUAAAUUAGAUAUAAAACCCUUUUUUUUUAAUUUUUAAUCAUUAAUUUACUCUUUUGUAUCAUUAAUUUAAUAAUGUAACCAUCAAAUUAGUUGUUUUAAGGUGAAUUAAAUAUUGGAAAACCCUAGGAUGGGUCGGAUAAUCAUGAUUUUUCCUUAGAGGUUCUGGAUUAGGUUAUAAACCUUGACAUUUUAGGUUAUUUGGCUAAUUAUAUACUAUAUUCUUAUUUCUAGACCAUAACCAACUAGAAAUUGCAUGAAAAGGCGAGGCUCAAGUUUAAUAAAGUUGUUCAUGCUUGGAUUGAGGUAGGUGAUGGUUUUAAUGUAGUUGAAACUCAAUUUGUGUUAUGUGUGCAUGAUAACUAAUUUUUAGUAUUACUUGUACAAUGCAUGUUCAAAGAAAGUGAAUGAUUAUUUGAUAAUUCUAAGUUUUAAUUGCAUACAAUGAACUUCAAUGAAAGCUUGUGAUUUUUACAUGUGUUGUUUUUAUUAUCAUUGUGGUUAUUGUUAUAUCUGCCAUUAUUGUGUAAUGUACAGGUAUUUGGACAUCACCACUAGAUUGGUUGAUAUAAGGUUGGUAUCUAGCAUUACAUACAUGGACAAGAGUUUAUCCCCUGCAAGUAAUGACUAGUGGGCACACACAUAAGACCCUUAGCAUGUGUAUACUUGGUACUGGUGAGUGGAGUAACACUUAGCAUAUGUGUACUUGGUACGUGUGGGUGUGACGGUUCCUUGAGCGAACCAGUGAUUGUUAUUUCCUUGAUUAUGUUGGCUCAUUAAGUUAAUCGAGCUUAAGUAUUUUUAUUAUUUAUUGGUUCCUUGAGUGAACUAGAUUUAUGUACUAAAUUGACAAAGGUGGUUUCUUUAUGUAAAUUGAGAUGCAUGAUAUUUGUGAUUAUUGCUAUACUUGUGGAUCUUUUUAUGGUUUAGGUCCAUUGCAAGUUGUGAUGUAACUCUAAAUUGUCUAUUACUUUUACAAAUUAGGACAUGAAUUAUAUGAUAUUUGUGUUAUGGAUAUUUACUUGAAGUCUUAUUGGUUAUCUUAGUUGACUUCAUUUGUCAUCCUUGUUGACUUAUAAUGACCAAACUUUAUAGUGUACAUAUUACAAGGCUAAGUGUUAUGGACUUGAAAUAAAAUUGCAUAAUAGGGUUUAUAGUUUUAUUGUUGUACUAUGUUUUGGUCAUGUCUCCAUAUAUAUUUCUUAUUUUGAGUUUAUUGAUGACCCUGCUAGCAUGCCAUUAUUUCUUGUGUGCUAAUACUGCACGUGCUCUUCUUUUUAUUGAGUGUAGAGCAUUUUUAGUAACUGUUUUAAGAUUUCAGCUGUCAUUCAAACCAUAUCAAAACUCAAAGGUAAGUUGCAUCCUUCAGGAUUCCAUGGUUUCAUCUAUUAUAUUUUGUUCUAUUUGUUUUAGACUUAACAUUACAUUGGUUUUCGAGGUGGCAUCCCUACUUUUGACAUUUAUUAAAGUUUUGGUACGAUGACUUUUAGGUCCUAGGGGAUGGUUUCUACGUUUAUUACAUUUCCUUUCUUACGUUAUGAUAUUGGAUAUUGAUUUUAUUCAAUAUAAUUGGUUUAGCUUUAUAGUUUUGGCUACGUUUGGUUGAUUGAUGGGUUAGUUAGUUCUCCUACCAGAUAUUUAGAGUGGGUGCCACUCGCGAUGAAUUUAGAUCAUGACAUAAAUUCUAUUGAUGACUAUUUAAUGAACUAUUUAGGCAAGGUGGAACUUAUUGUUGUUAUUCAUGAACUAUUAACUUGGUCUAUUGUUGUUAGCUGUAUUUUUGACUUGAUGAAUUAUCGGUAAUAAUUUAUACUUGUCUAGUGAUUGGUUGUAGUCAUUGUUCAGGAUGUUGCCUUAGCAGAUUUUUGUGUUGAAUUAUACCUAUUUUACUUGUUGAUAUUAAUAUAAAUAAAGUACAUUAAAGGUUUUAUUGACUUAUAAUUAUAGGGUUAUGUUUUCCUAUGAUACAUGGGUGCCUCUAUAUGUAGGUAUUUCUGAGAAACAUGUUAAUUGUUGAGGUCAUUAAAUGGGUACUAAGGGCUAGGAUUCCAUGCUCAUUGUGGUUGAGUCCUUAGUGAAGUGGUGUGAUCUCAUAUUUAGUCUAUUCUGGAGAUAUAAAGGUUGGUAUAUUUGAGGGGAAAAUGGAAGUUAUUCAUAUUAAGUACUGAUAUGAACUAUAUAUUGAGAAAAAAAUUAAUACACUAUAAGUAUAUGAUUUAUCUUGAAUUUUUGUAUUGUAUGUUAUCUUUUUUAACCUCGGCCGGUUAUGAUGCCUACCAAUAUGUGGUGUUAUACUGAUGCUAUACUUUUUAUAUUCUUUCUAGGGUAUAUUCUAGUUGCAAGGUCAGUUGAUGUUUCUAGAUGACAUGGAUAGUGAUCUCCAGCAGCUUCUACUCUUCUCAUUCCUAUAGUGAGAGAUAUUUCCUUUGUGUUGUCAUUUACUUGUUAGAAGUUCUUGUACAUUAUCUAGACUAGAUCCUCAAGAAAGGAUAUCUUCUUUCAAGUAUUUUAAAAAGAGUUUGUAAUAAAUUUCCAUAGUUUUGUGAAGAUUUUUUUAAUAUUUUGUUGUAACUUCUGCAUUUCUUAAUUGGGUGGUAAGGGUUUCUUAUCUAUAUGGAUUAGACUGGGUGCCCUCAUAAUUCGGUUAGUUGGAUCGUAAUAGUUGCUCUCAGAGCACUUAGUUACCGGUCUUACAAGUAUAAGAGAAAAUAUUUAGUAAAGUCCUACGGAUUGGGGUGUAGAUGUCCACAUCAAAUCCUAGGGAAGUUAUAAGGAAUUUUAGGAAUUUUUUCCUUUCUUCUUUCCUAUCAUGCUACCUUGGGUGUUGUCUAUCUAGGUUGAGCCAAAUUGGUAUCUAUUAGAUACCCAUUGGUAUAUUUGUAAUCACAAUUAGAAUCUAGUUAAUUCCAAUUGGUAUCAUGAUAAGUUCAUAAUUAAAAUCUAGUCAUUUAAUAUUAUAUAUGUCCAUAAGAGCUAUAACUUAUGAUUGUCGUAUGAACGUGAUGAAAUUGCUUGAUUAUAACUUUUUUUAGUAUAUUAAAAGAUGUGAUUGUGAUUGUUGCUUGGUUGGAUAAUAGUAACUUAUAUGGUUAACAAAAGUGUUGCUUGAAUUAGUUGUUUAAAGAGAAUUUUUUUUUUUGAAUUUUGUGAUUACUUAGAUGUUUAAUGGAUGACUGAAAUAUUUGUCGAUGAGUGUAUUGUAGGUUAAAUGAAUGAAAAUCUAUUGGUGAUUGAAAUGUAUAUUGACAACUAAAUUUUCUAUUAGAUGGUUGAGAGGGUAGAUAUUACAGCCCUUGGAAAUAAAUUUGAAUGAUGUGGUUGGUAAGAUAUUAUGUGUUGAUGAUUUAAAUGUCUGAUGUGGGCAUUAUUGUCCAUUUGAGGUGACAUAUUUAUUUAAACAUCUGACUUGUUUAACUCCAUGGUUUUGACUGUUGAUUUCGUAAACUAUUUUUAUUGUGAUGAUAAUCUGUAGUUGAUGAGGAAAUUGUUAGAUUAUGGUGGAUUAACAAAAUGGUUUGACAUUGCCUAUAUGUUUAUUGUAACAAAAUGACUUGUAAUUGGCUUAUUAUGGUUUGACAUUACCUAUAUGCUUAUUGUAUGUGAAAAAUUAUCGGUUAAUAGUAUCCUUGAAUAUGGUAUAAUUGAAUUAAAAAGACUUGUGAAAUAAGUGAGCUUGAUUAUAAUUAAUGAUCCUUAGUUAUAGGAUCAAUUGACGGAGUAGAGUUAUUAGAUUUGCUUAUUUCUAUUCAUAUCACUCUCAUUGUUGCAUGAUAAUACUUGGUUGUUAUUACUCCUUGAGUAGUUGAGGUAUGUUAAGUCGAUAAUUUGACUAAUUGUAAGCUAGAUGUGGGUCUAAAUGGCUAUAGUUUGUCCUUGUGUGAUAACUUGUGAGUUGAUUUUUUGUAUGAAAUAUUGAUUGUUAAUGGUCGAAUAGACUUAUGUGAGUUAUGGUUGAGAAUUUAUAUGUUACGGAAACCUCUAAUGGGGUGUUGGUGUUUGUACUCUAGAGAAUUUAAUCUAGUGUUCUGAUCAUGGAGGAGUGAAAAAAGAGUCAUAAAGUAGAUGUCCCGACGGGAAAAUGUAGCACAGCAUUAAGUGUAUUUUCUUCUUAUAGAAUUGUUUAAGGAAUAAGUAGUCGGGUAGAGUUUUUCCUAGGAUGAGAGUUGAUAAAAUCUCAGGCUAGCGUGGGUUCCAAUAAAAGUCCAAUAUUGGGCGGCUUAGUGAUAUUUGGUGUCUCGAGGUGUAGUGUUUGAUGAAUUUAAGGUGAUAUCAUGAUAGGUGAGGGACAUAAUGGCCCAUAUUAACUUUUGGAACUAUUCUAAUAAGUAUUUCCUAUAUUACACUAACCAGGUUCAGAACCUAGAUCUAGCAAUUCAUAAAAAGGUUCAAGAUCUGUCUAAUUGUUAUACCAAAAAGACAUCUCCCCUUUUUCAAAAAUUCACCCCAUAUUUUCCUCACAAAUUUUUAACAGAAUGCAUAGCCUUUUAGUUAAGGGAUUGAACAUUUCUCCAUUGAUUAGUCAGAAGAUGAAUUCAAAAUAAUACUAUGUUUUUAAGAAGAGGAAACACAAAUAUUUUUAUGUUCUAAGCUUAUAGCAAUAUUUGGUAGUGAAAAUCUUAUUAAUAUCAGCAAGCUUUUUAAAAUUAUUAACCCCUUUAUUUGUGAGGUAAGAUAAAUUACCCCAAGAAGACAGUGAAGCCUCUUUUACCAAUUGAAGCACUCCACAAAAUUCUACUUAAAGCAUCUUCAAUAAUUUCAAAAUUAAUUUUAUGAUAUUGCAUAGUUGUUAAUAAUUGUCAGAUGUGAUCCAUCAGAAUACUUUUAUUAUCAACAAAAGGAAAUUUCAAAGGACGACUCCUAAUAUUUAAAAUAUCUUGAAUUUGUAAUGAAUCUCUAGGUCAUUUCCGACAUUUCCAUAUUUUUUCAUCAUUUAGCAUUUUCCUAUAGCUUCCCCAACUCUUAUGACUUUUUGGAGCAACAGCUUAGGUAUUGGACAGUUCAUUUGGUUUUUAGAGUCAAUUUUCUAUUCUAAAAUCUUCGCUGAUAAAAAUUGGUUAUCAAGCAAAAACUUCAGUUUAACGACCUUGUAUGCCAAUUAUGACAGUUCCAAAAACUUUGCAACAUAAUUUUAGGUUAGGUAGACCUUUGGUUUGGAUCUCAAGGCUUUCAGACUCAUUUCAGGCUAUUGGUUAAAAAUUAAGAAAAAUGACACUUGGGUGUGGGACCCACUUUUCAUAAAAAUGAUCUCGUAUGGAAAUUUUGACUGUGUCAUUGAGUUCGAUAUUUUGAAUUUGAUAGCUUAGUAUAGUUCGUUUGCAUAGAUAGGAUUCUGAAUGAAUCCCCGAGGUCAGUGUAGACUUGGAAGAUUCCAUGUCUUCAACUAGUGCACUGAAUUGGUGCAUCCAUUAAAGCGACCUUUUGGGUGUAUUAGCAUAAGCCACUUUUAUCACGGUCCAAAAUCAAAGGACAUAAUGGAACUUGUCGCGGCAAACCUUGACAAUUAAGCCUACCACCCAAACUGUUAUGAAAUGAUAUAAAAUCACAAUCCAAGGCAAGACUCCUAGAACGGAGUUGAACCACACAUAUAUAGUAAGAGCAAAAAGUACAUAUCUGAAAAUACCAUAAAAAUAUCCCAAAAUCUGGUGUCACGGUGUAAGAACCAACUAAUGCAACUCGAAGUCAAAGUAUACAUAGGAUAUCCAAAAAGGAACACAUAGUCUAGAUAAGAAAAGGUAGAAUUUAACUCCAUAUGCAAAAAUCAACUGCUACAUUGAAUAGACUCCAAGUACCGCCUGAAUCAAUUAUCGUGCGAUGCACUCAUACCUAGAUCUGCACCGAAAUGGCACACUAUGGGUGAGUACAGUUCACUUGUACUCAAUAGGUAUCAUAGGAUGACUGAGCAAAGUAGAAAUAAAGCAUAUAAAAUACACACUAUAGGCACGUCAUUUGCAAUGAGAAAAUGUCCCAAAUUGUAGUCCACACCGUCUCCACUAACAGUUCUACAAUAUUCACAUAUACCAUACACAAAUACGAGAAAGAAGCACAAGUAUAAAGAUAUCACAUAUACAAGUAUGAAAAUGUGGUACACGUAGAAAGAUCAUAUCAAAACGAUAAUACAACAUAGAAUAAACACAAUAAAUAUGUAUAUGAAAUGAGAUAAAGAUGAUGGUGAUGCCCAAGGUUGUCGAAUAACCUUUGUAUACACCUACUGAGCUAUGCUCCCGAGGUAGGAUCCAUGGGAGGUUCAUCAACCCAUAUACAAUACAAUAUGAAAUACUAAUAUCCAUGAUUUUUCUUUGGCACGUCCCUCAGCAGAAGGUCUAUAUUGAUGUCAUAGGUUAGUGUUUCCAGUAUUUCCUUAGUUGAACCAAUGUUUCAUGAGUGCAUAUAAUAUAAGGAUGCAAUACUCACAACUAUCUAGAAUGAGAGAUCUCAAUAAUCAACCAAAAUGCCCAUAUAGGCCAAAUUCACUCAAUAUGCACAACAACCCAUGAAACCAACAUAAUCAUAUACCAAUAGAGAAAAUUACACAACAAUAAGCCAUUGAUACAAAUCAAUUACAACUUAGGAUUUUCACCUGACAGAUACCACCAAAUAUACAUACAUAAAAGCCAACAACAUCAUAUAAGACCCCACACAGUCAUGUAUAGCAUGUAGUGUAUCAAAACCACUAAUUCACAAAAAUAUAGAACCCCACACGAGCAGACACAAUAAUAUAGUCAUUUUCUUGAGUUGGUUUCCACACCCUUAACAUGAUUUUUAUAUCCAUAAUAACAACCCUACCCUGUCUGAAGAAAGUUAAGUCAUAACCUACCUUUGAAUACAAAAAUAAAAAUGAAUAAGCCUUGAUCACUGAGCCUUCACCUCACACAAAAAUAUAGAAUUCACGUGUCAAAAGAAAGAUAAUGAUACCCAUAUUGCCAAUUUCCAAAUCGAGGUCAAUACAGACCCUCAAAAUAAUUUUCAAAAAAGAAGGGUAAAAUUGAAAUUUUAGUCCAAAAAUCAUAUUUACCAUGAUUAAAGGAACUCAUAGGUGAAAACCCAAGUGAAAAUGCAUUGAAAUUGGGGUUUGAAUUGAAGAAAUGUUAUUUUGGGCCUUUCAACCAAAAAUCCCCAAUUUCCAUUUUUAAAUCCUAGUUUAAACAAGAUUUAAAUGAUAAAAUAAAAAAAAUAGUUGAAAUAAGAGUUUGGAUCUUACCCAAGCUUGGAAAUGGAUUAAAUCACCAAAAAACCUUAAAACUUAAAGCUCCAAGUCUGAAAAAUGGUGAAGGAAAUGAGAAAAGAAUUUUAUAUACCUAAGGGGUCAGGUGUCACCAAAGCGGUCAAGUACCAUUUAGAGAUACCAGCUAAUGUGUGUCAGUCUGCUAAAGUAAACAAAAGUCGCUUUAGGUCCUACCGUUAAAGUGGAUAGGGCAAUGCUAAAGUUCCCUUGUCUAGCUGAAGUCAGCCGCUAAUGUGGCCAAGCGGCGCUUAAGUGGUUGCACCAGCUAUGGAGUCUUGGAAAAUUCCAAGUCUCCGUGGACCCCUCGGGAUUCUUCUAGAAUCCCUAGAACAUAAACAAACUAUAUUAUGUUAUUAAAUUCGAUGCUUCAUACUCAAUGGUGCCAUCAGAUUUUUGAAAAAAUAUUGUUUUCACAGAAUUAACCCCCGAGACCUAUUUUAACAACAUUCUGAAUGGAGGGUCGAAAUGAGAUACAAAGCUAUAAAACCACACCACCAUGUUACCAACCUAAAAUCAAUACUUCAGAUUUGUUGGCACAGUCUAUGUUGCCAUCUGAUGCAUAAAUUAAAAGAUGUUGACCAAAGUCAAAUACUAAGCCUUUAAUACCAUUAAACCCACAAUCUCACGCAAAUCAAACACUAUGUCAAUCAUCUCCACACCCCAGAAAUACCAUAAUGCAACCACGGGGAGGGGUAACAUGGUCAAAUCGCAUAGAAAUAAAUAUUUCACACAAAUCACCAAAAAUCCAAUCAUUACAUCAUCCACCACUAAGAAUAUAGUUCAUCCUCAAUAUAAAGGCAAUAAAAAUAUCUGAAUCGAAAAAAAGUUAGGGAUAACUACUAUGCAUAUCAGACUCGAACUCUCAAGUAGACUUAUUUAUAGGUCAGUGCCUUUACUACACCUUAACCACAGAAAUAUCUCUAGAUGCAACUGUCUUAAAUCCCUGGAUAGUAUGGAGACUGACUCAUCAACAAAUGACAACCAGUCAUCUAACUUAACUGAAUCCCAAUGAAUGACAUAAGACUCAUCUCGAAAGCAUAGAAACAUGAAAAAUUGGAUUAACAACUGAUAAAUCCAGAGGUAAUUCUAACUCAAAAUCUAGAUCCCUAAUAGUCUAAAAGAUCUUAAAAGGUCCAAUAUAUCUGAGGUUAAGCUUGCCCCUCUUCCCAAACCUCAUCACACCCUUCAUGGGUAAUACACGGAGGAAUACAUGAUCACCAAUACUAAAAUCAAGACAUAAAGUCUACGAUCCACAUAGCACUUCUACCUACUUUGAGCCGCUCAAAGUCUAUCCUAAAUGACUUGAACUAUAUCCAAAGACUCACAAAGCAUGUCCGUACCUUGAGGUCUAAUCUCAGAAACUUCAAUCCAACCAACUAGAGAGUGACAACCUAGCAUACAAAGCCUCGAAGAGAGACAUAUCAAUAUUAGAAUGGUAGAUAUUAUUAUACACAAACUCUACCAAAGCUAGAUAUUGUUUCCCCUGACCUCCAAAAUCCAUAAUCCAGGCAUGGAACAUAUACUCCAAAACAUGAAUAGUCUGCUUUGACUGACCGUCGGUCUAAGUAUGAAAUGUCAAACUAAGAUCAACUUGGUACCCAACUCCUCCUAAAAAGUCUUCUAAAAGUGAGAUUUGAACACUGAACAUCAAUCUACGAUGAUAGACACAGGUAUACCAUGAAGAUGAACUAUCUCAGGAAUAUAGAUAUAUGUCAAUCUCUCAGCACUGAAGGACACCUAACUAGAAUGAAAUAAGUAGUUUGGUUAAUCAAUCCUUGAUGACCUAAACAAUAUUAGAACCACGAUAAGUACGAGGCAACCCAAUCACAAUGUCUAUAAUGAUUUGUUCCCAUUUCUACUCUGGGAUUGGUAAUCUCUAAAAUAAAUCAUCAGGCCUCACAUGCUCGGCUUUCACCUGUUAGCAAUAUAAGCAAUGAGCAAUAAAAUUUGCUACAUCCUUUCUCAUACCACCCCACCAGUAAUAUUGUCUCAAACACAAUAUAUCUUAGUCACUCCCAAAGAGAUAGAAUACCUGGAACAAUAAACCUCCUCCAAAAUGAAUCUAAUCCAAUCACUCAUUCUUAGCACAUAAACUCGACCACCAGUUGCAAGAUAUCAUUUGGAUCAAGCGAGGCUUUCUUAGCAUCACCACUCAAUGCCUUAUCUUGAAUCACUUUCAACCCUACAUCAUCAAACUAAUGAGCCUAAAUAUACUCUAUCAAGGAAUAUCUAGCCUAAAAAAUACCAAAAAAUACAUUGAGGUGUAAAAAUAUCAAGCCUAACCAUUUGGUUAGCCAAAUACUAAGCAUCUAAGGACAAAGGUCUCUCUUGAGUCAAAUGCUGCUCCAAGAUACCCAUGCUAGUUGACUUCCAGCUCAAGGCAUCUGCAACCAUAUUAGCCUUGCUCGGAUAAUAGGGAAUAAUCAAGUCAAAACCUUAAGCAACUCAAGAUAAUGAAAUUGUCUCAUAUUAAGGCCUCACUCGGUGAAGAAAUACUGAAGGUUAUGAUGAUCUAAGAAAAUCUCAGAACGGACUCCAUACAAGUAGUGCCUCCAUAAUUUUAAGGAAAAAAUAACCAUGUAUAACUCCAAAUAAUGGGUAGGGUAAUUCCUCUCCUGGGGAUUCAACUGACAAGAAGCAUACGUAAUCACCUUACCCUUCUACAUCAACACAAUACCUAAUCCAAUACCAGAAGCAUCACAGAAGACGGUAAAACUCACCCUCUCUUUGGGCAAAGUUAAUAUAAGAGUUAAAGUCAAUAGAUCCUUGAGAUUUUGAAAGCUCACCUCAUAAGAAUUCAACUUGGUCAGUGAAGCUGUAUAGAUGAAAAACCCUUAACAAAGCACCGAUAGUAUCUAGCUAAACCAAUAAAAUUUUGAAUCUCAGUAAGAGAAGUAGGACUAGCCCAAUCAUGAACCACUGCAAUCUAGUACAGAUCAACCAUAAUACCAUCCUUGAUUGCCACAUAACCUAAGAAAGAAGUAGACUCCAGCCAAAACUCAUACUUUGAGAACUUAGCAUACAACUUAUCACCCCUCGAUCUUUGAAGUACAAUUUAUAAAUGCUUCUCAUGAUCAGCCUCACUCUUGGAAUAAACCAAGAUAUCAUCUAUAAAUACAGUGAUAAAAGGGUCAAGAUAAGAUCAAAAAACCUAGUUCAUCAACUCCAUGAAUAUCGUUGGGGUAGUGGUCAACCCAAAGUACAUGACUAAGAACUUAAAAUGACCAUAUCAAAUCUAAAAAGCUAUCUUCAGAAUAUUCAAAGCUCUAAUCCUUAACUUGUGAUACCUGUAUUUCAAAUCAAUCUUUGAAAAUACCAAAUCACCUUGAAGCUGAUCAAACAAAUCAUCAAUACAAAAAAGAGGAUACUUAUUCUUAACCAUCACCUUGUUGACUAUCGAUAAUCAAUCCACAUACGCAUGGACCUAUCUUUUUUCUUAACAAACAUGAAAGGUGCACCCUAAGGUGAUACACUAGGUCAAAAAAGGAAAGAUAUAACUCUCUUGGGACUCAAAUGUAGCACACCCUUCUAAGUUAUCAUUGGCACACCCGGCAAAGCUAAAGUCAUGGUCAUAGCAUAACAGUCUAGGACAGUAUGAUAAGGAACUAAGCAAUGCAUACCCAAUAUAACAUCAAAGUCCACCAUAUUUAAUACAAUCAGAUCUACCCAAGUUUUAGCCUCAUAAAAGUCACAAUAUAGGAUCGGUACACCCGAUCCACCACUAAGAAGUCUCCUACAGAAGUAGAUACAUAAUAGAAAUGGCAAGAGCCUCACUAGAAAAAAUACAACUCAAAAUAAAAUUACAGACACAUAGGAGAAAGUCAAUCUUGAAUUAAAUAACAUAGAUGUAGAUCUAAAACAAACAUGAAUGACACCUAUAAUGAUGGGAAUAGAAGCCUCUAUCUUUGGUCUGGAGGGUAUAGCAUAGCAGUGUCCAUGACCACUAACUGACUGGGUUUCCACGACCACCACCUUGGGCACCACUACCUCUACCUUAUGCACCACUAGUAUAACCUCUACUUUUUACAACUGGUAUAGGAGUAUCCCUAAAAAAAUAGUGGGAUAAUCCUUAGCCAAAUGGCCAACCUCAUCACACACAUAGCAACCUCUACAACUCAACUCUAAAGAAGAAGUUACCACUGAGCUAGGAUGACGACCAAUAGUUAUUAAAAUAGAAAAUCCACUACUUGACCCCUACAAGGCUUCCUAUACUAGUUUAUUAUUAUACACAUAGAAACUUCUAGAAUCUUUACCUCAAGUAGCAUAACCUCUAAACUAACCUAAACAAAGCACCCCUUUAGUGUCUCUCUAGAACCCUCAAAGAAUAGACUGAUACUGCAUAUACUACCAUAUGAGUCAUAUCCAUAUGAAGAGAAACAUCCAAUCCCUUAAUGAACUUCUGUAUCUUCUUAGACUUAGUGGUAAUGCUAACAUAAAAAUAUCUCGACAAGGUAUUAAAACAUGCCUCAUACUCCAUAACAUUCAUGGAUCCCUGCACCAAGUGAUCAAACUCAUUUCUGAUCUAAUUCUUCAGACUAUAAGGCAUAAACCUCUCCAAAAAGCCUCAGCAAAUAUAUCCCAAGUCAUCUCUAGAGAAUCAAGAGGUCUGUAAUUGACAAGUGACCUCCACCAAUCUCGGGUUGUAUCUCUCAAAUAAUAAGUAGUGUAAGAAUUCCCAUCCAAAUCAAGUGAUCCAAGGUUAUGCAACUUCUCUUUACAAUCAACCAAGAACGCAUAAACAUUCUCGCCCAUGGCAGCACUGAACCUAGGAGGACCUAAAUGAGUGAAUCUCUUAAACCUUUUUUUAUCCUUAGAAGACAUAAUUUUACUCACAGUACUAGAAAUCAUAGUAAAUAUAGCUGGAUAAGAUCCAAUAUAAGGAGGUAACAUAGAUGAAGGCUAGAUUCCUAACCUUGAAAUACCAUACUCAGAUGCAGGAACUGAAUAAGGAACAAGAGUCAAAGUUUGUAGAGUACCAUAAGUUGAUAUCAAUACCACUAAAUGAUCCAUACUCGGGACCAUAGAAACAUCAUAAGCAAACUCUGGAACAAAUGAAGGUAUAAUUCUCAGAGCUGGAGGACCCCAGGUGCACUCAAAGGAGAACCUUCCAAAUGCAUUAGUAAAUGAAUCAAUAAUCUCUCUAAGAUUAGGUAGAAGAACUUUGUAGGAUGAGAGUAGGACCCAUAACUCCAACAUACUUGACCUGAGGCUCAAGGGAAAGUCCCCUAGUUCUAUCUCUAGACUUGGUAGAUCCUUAUGCCUAUUCUUUACCUCAAGCCUAAUUAUGACUCACAACUUGCUCUCUAAACUAGGCUCUCUCCUCAGAUAAAGGUUCCACAUCUAUAACCUUAUGAGAUCUAGUCAUCACCAUAUACCCAAACAAGAGUAAAAUACUAUUUAGAACACAAGGUAUAAAAGAUCUGCAUGACAUGGAACAAAUAAGAAAAGUUUCCUAAAGAUAUCUUAUAGCCUCUUGAAGAAAUAUACAAGCAUUGACAUAUUAAUUUGUGUGACUCUAUUAGACACCCCAUUGUUAUAGUGUUGAGACUAAUGGAACUUGGCUGCUCUAAUUACAAUCUAUCACAACCCAAAAUCAAAAGUCAUGAUGGCACUUGUCGUGGUAAACCCUGACAAGUAAAUUUAUCACCCAAACUGAUAUAAAAUAAAGGAUAAAAUAAAAAUCAAAGGCAAAACUCCUAGAACAUAGUUGAACCACACAUAUAUAUUAAAAAUGGAAAGUACAUAAUUGAAAUAAUCACAUAAAUAUUCUAAAGUUAAGUGUCAUAUUGUAAGAACCAACUAAUACAACUUGAAGUCAAAAGAUAUGUAUGAUAUCUAAAAAGGAAAAACUCUCUGUUUCUUCAAAUAUAAAUAAGGCAUAGUCUAGAGACGAAAAGGUAAAACUCAACUCUGUAUGCAUAAAUCAACUGCUACCUCGAAUAGUCUCCAAGUACCACCUAAAUCAACUAUCGUGUGAUGCACUCAUAAUAGGAUCUACACCGAAAGGGCAUAGUAAGGGUGAGUAUGGCCCACUUUUACUCAUUAGAUACCAUAGGCAAACUAAGAAAAGUAGAAAAUAAAGCAUAUAUAAUACACAAUAUGGGCAUGUGACCUACAAUUAAAAAUGUCCCAAAUGGUAGCCACACUGUCUCUACUAAUAGUUCUACAAUAUUUACAUAUACCAUACACAAAUACAAGAAAGAAGCACAACUAUAUAGAUAUCGCAUAUACAAGUAUAAAAAGUGGUACAUGUAGAAAAAUAUCACAUCAAGAUAAUAAUACAACACAGAAUAAAUACAAUAAAUAUAUUUAUGUAAAAUGCAAUGAAGAUGGUAAUGGUGUUGUUGAAGAUGAUGCCCUAGGUUGUUGCAGAAUCUCUGUAAUUAAAAUACCUUAAAUUUUUGGCCCUUGAAAAUUCCUUAAGAUCAGAGCUCACUUUCCUGGUUAUGACUGGACCCUAUGAGUCAUAGGGUGUUUGGAUAAGUCAUUGGGAUAAGUCAUAACCAAACUAAUAAGUUUGUGGCUUGAUUUAGCUCUAAGUACAAGUGGCUCAAAAAUAUCCAUAAGAAUAUGUUAUGAGUCAUUAGGAGUAGUAGUAGGGUGUCCAAUGUAAGUCCCAAUUUGGGUUCUAUGUUGACUAUGACUAGACCCUAUGAGUUAUAAGGUCCUUUUAUGAGUCUUAUGGUUGAGUCAUAAUGAUAACAGUGUAGGGUACCUUGGUGGUACUUCUUUUCUUAUGAAUCAUGGUGAUGGGGCAUAAGGAAAGGUUAUGAGUCAAUUGGUUGACUCGUAAUCAAAGAGGACACUUUUUAGUUUUUAAGUUGAGGGCACUCUGGAUAUUUCCCACUUUAACCCCUUGGACCCUACUAUGUAUAGCCUUCUUUGAGUAUUAAUUAUCACAUCAUUCCAAAUAAAAUACUCCCAAAUUCUCACUCAAACUCUCUCCUCAUGUUAAGGCCAUAGUUUCAAAGAAAAUAGUUAUCUAGGGUUUAAGGGUGCUUUUUUCACCAAAUUUCUUGGUAUUUCAGGUAUGUUACUCUUCCCUCAUUGUCAAUUUUAUAAAGCAUAUGAUUUAAAGUAUUUUUCAUAAGAUAUUGAUGUUGGGUUUUGAACUAUGUGUUCAGGGUUUUUAAUAUAAAUUGUUUAAAUAUUUUUCUAUGAUAUCUAUGAAACUAUUAUUCUUAAAUUUAUGGUUAGUAAAUACAUUGGGGUGCAUGGGAAUGGUGGAUGAAAAUAGGGGUAUAAAGGAAUCCCCAAAUUAAUUAUUUUGGAAUGGAAAUUGGAAACAACCUCAACCACUUGCAUAAUUGAUUUUGGUUUAUGCAUUAUUACUUGGUUUGGUUUAUUUCUUGAAACUAGUGCAUAGCAUGAAUGGUUAAUUAGUUAUGGGCGGUUUGGAAAACCUUUUGGGGUACACGGGAAUCCCUCAAGAAAUUUUAAUAAUGGAGUUUGUUGGGUACAUGGUAAUCCCCUAAGUAUUGGUUAAUAAAAUUGCUUGUAUGCCAUGGUCGGUAUGAUGACACCACUUAAUAAUGCCUUAAUGUUUAACUCCUGAAAUUGGUGGUUGAAGUAUGUGUUACAUGUUUUAAUUGGGAAAUAAUAGUAAUUGUGUUAACUAGCCAUGAAGGUGUAAGUUUGAAGGACUGAUACUGGAAACCCAUAUUGGUUGACAUGAGGGUUGGUCUUGAGGACCAUAGACUUAUGAGGUAUAAGGGAAUCCCCCAAGUGUAUAUUCAUAUAUAUGUAUCAUGGAGGGAGAAGGGUAUAAGGAAAUACCCAAUCAUCUAUGAUAUUUCUAGUUUGUAUGGCUAACAUGCACUAGGGCUCGUUCAAGGGUAACACUAGACCCGUGUAGCCUGUGGGUAGAUUUGUGAUGGUAAAGCUACACAAACUCAGGUUAAAGUUCUAAAGUCCAUGCUAAUGCCAUUCCCUAUCCUAUCAUUAUAUCUAUGUGUAUAUAUGGAUGAGAAUGGAUGUGUAUAGGUGCUUUAGUUUGACUUGAUUUUGAAUUAAUGGCAUUAUUUUAUCCAUAUCCUUAAGUUACAUGCUAAAGUUCACCCUUCUAACCAUCUUCGGACAUUGUAUCCCCACUCAAUAUAGGAACUAGCUAUACUUCUACCUUUCUCGCACUUUGACUUAGAUUUGAGAUAAGCUCGUGAGUCAUACUGAAGUAGUAAGCCUCCAUACUUUAGAAGGACUUAUUUCUUCCUUUGGUUUAUUUUAUAUUCUGACUAUUUCUUUAGACUUGGUUUUGGCUAUGGUCCGAGGUAUGUAAUGACUAGAUAUUCUUUGAUUUUAGUUAGAGGCUUUGUUGAAUAUUACUGCAAACUUUGAUGCAGAUAUUGGUGGUUGUUUAAAUUAUUGUAUUAGAAUCCUUUAACUUUGUUCUUUAUCAUGUUAUAUGUUCGUAAUUCAUCCUACAUGAGAUGUAAGGUUUUUAUUGCUCAGAUAAAUAGGUGGUGUCCUCCCAUCGUAGUUGGACUUGAGGUACUAAACACGGCCAAGCCCUAGUUUGGGUCAUGUCAAAUUAGUAUUAGAGUCACUCAUGUGUCAUCCUUAUCGAUGUAGGCCAGAGUUCAAAUAAGUCCAUAAGAGGGGUGUAUAUAACACCCCAACUUAAAAUAGGGAGUCCCAUAUUGACAAAACAUAGGAGAGAUGCUGGGUAUAUAAGUAAGCAAGCCUUACUCUCUAGUGAUGCAUUUUAAAGUCAUACGAGCCUAGGCCCAAAUCGGACAAGAUCACUAGUGGAUUGGGCCGUUAAAAAUGGUAUCAGAGACUAGGUUUAUGGUCAAUUGGGUGUUCAUAAAUCUAUCAUAAGUAGAGUCUUUUUUAUGAGUGUGAAGCGUGUCACACUUAUGAGGGAGAGGCUAUGUGGCAUUUAGGAAUAUUUCCCUUUCUUGUUUUUAAAUUUUAAUUUAUAGAAUCUAAGGUCUUGAAUCUCCUAUAAUUCUGAUUUGUUUGAUUUUUAGAUCAUGCCUCCCAGACGAUCUAAAGUUCAUUAAAACUCCUUUGUCCUACUUGAGGACAAUGCUUAGUGGACACGCCCUGCUUAUAGGGUACAAACCCGAGUCUAGGGGUCUAGUCCCUGAUUUCCUUUCUAAAGUUCCAUUGGUCCCGUCGAGUCCUCCUCGAGCCCCUCAAGCUGAUGUGUUAAAUGUAGAAUUUUGUCAAUCUAUUCAUAUGUUGGCUCAGUUGGUAGCUUCUCAGUUUGAGUGUGUAGCUUUUCUUACUCUAUCUUCUUGGGGCAUAAGGGUUGGCUAAUUUAUGAGGUUGAUUCCUCAUAUAUUUAUUGGUUCUAAAGUUGAGGAAGAUCCUUAAAACUUUAUCAAUGAGAUGGUGAAGAUCUUCUGGUUAUGCAUGAUUCAGAUAUUGAGGGUGUAGAAUUUGCUUCCUUCUAAUUGAAGGAUAUGGCAUAUAGUGGGAGUAUUUGAGAGGUGAAUAUGUUGAUUUUGUUGUAUGGGAUGAUUUUCUACUACUUUUCUACACGACUUCUUCCCUCAGGAGUUGAGUAAGGCAAAAGCAGAAGAGUUUGUUAAUUUGAAGCAAGGAAGAAUGACAAUCAAGGAAUAUGCCUUAAAAUUCCAUAAGUUGUCCCGGUAUGCUUCCCGAUUUGGUGUCUAUCAUGAGAGCUAGAAUGAGGAAUUUCACUUUUGGGUUGUCCAGAGAUUUGAUUUUGGAGAGCGAGGCUGCCUUACUGAAUAAGGACAUAGAUAUCUCCGGACUGGUGGUAUAUAUGCAUAGAGUUGAGGAAGAGAAGAGGAAGCAAGCUAAGAUUGGGGAAGAAAGUGUAAGAAAUUUUGGUAUUCAGAAAAAGGAAGAGAUCUUUGGAAGAGUGGAAAGGAUAUUGGGAAGUGGUCCAAGAAGAAGUGGGGAAGUUCUGGGUCCUACUCGAUGGUAAUGCUCCUUAUUUAAAGCCAUCGGCUAAUUAUCAUUCUCAGCAUGAUAGUGUGUUUAGGGAACAGGGUGCCCAAUCUUAGGCAUGUGGGGCUCAGCCCGCUUCAUCAUAUCCUCCCUACAAAUUUUAUGGUCGAUUACAUCAUACUUUCUAUGAUGAGGGAAGGGACAGGUGUUUCAUUAGCUCCUGCACUAAAGGGUACUGCUUUUACUUUUUGUACUAGCACUGGCCGAAAUCACUUGUAUGCCUUUUCUACUUAUCAAUACUCUGAGGAAUCUCCCGAUGUCAUCACUGGUAUGUUACGACUCUUUUCUUGUGAUGUGUGUUGUUUACUUAUUUUGGGGUCCACUCUUUCUUAUGUGACCCCAUAUAUGGCUGUAUAUUUUGAUUUUGGUAUCAAGUAUAUUUUGAUCCCUUUUUUUAUUUCUAACCUGGUGGGUGACUCUAUGGUUUCUAAAAGAGUCUAUAGGGGUUGUGUGGUGUUUGUUGGUGAUAGAGAAACUUUGGUGAAUCUAUUUAAAUUAGACAUGGUUGAUUUUGAUGUCAUAUUAGGGAUGGAUUGGUCGCACUCGUGCUAUGCCUCCUUAGAUUGUCAAACCCGUAAGGUCAUAUUUAAACUCCCUAAUGAGCCAAUCAUUGAGUGGGAUGAGGGUUCUGUAGCGCCAAAGAAAAGAUUCAUAUCAUAUCUUAGAGCUCAGAAAUUGAUUUCCAAAGGAUGUAUUUACCAUUUGGUCCUGGUUAAAGAAUCUAACUCAGAGGAUCCUUUCUUACAAUCUAUUUCUAUGGUUAAUGGAUUCCCUGAGGUUUUUCCUGAUGAUCUUCCUGGUAUCCCUCCUGAUAAGGAGAUUGAUUUUGGGAUAGAUCUUGUUCCACACACUUGUCCUAUCUCUAUCUCUCAUUAUAGAAUGGCUCCGACAGAGUUAAAGGGGCUUAAAGAGUAAUUAAAGGAUCUCCUAGAUAAUGGUUUUAUUUGUCCUAGUAUGUCUUCAUAGGGUGCUCCGAUAUUGUUUGUGUGUAAGAAGAAUGGUUCCCUUUGGAUGUUUAUUAACUACCGAUAAUUAAAUAAGGUCACAAUAAAGAACAAGUAUCCUCUUUCUCAGAUUGAUGAUUUGUUCGACCAGCUUCAGGGUGCUAGAUGUUUCUCUUAGAUUGAUCUUUGGUCGAGUUACCACCAGCUAAAGAUUAGGGAGGUGGAUAUCCCUAAGACUAUCUUCCAACCCGGUAUGGUCAUUAUGAGUUCUUUGUCAUGUUUUUUGGUUUGACUAAUGCCCCGGCAGCAUUCAUGGACUUGAUAAAUAGGUUAUUUUAUUAGUUUUUGGAUUUGUUCAUCAUUAUGUAUAUAGAUGAUAUUCUGGUAUAUUCCAAGAGUGAGGUGGAUUAUGCUGAUCACCUUUGUAUCAUGUUGUAAACCUUGAAAGAUCGGCAUUUGUAUGCUAAGUUUUUGAAAUGGGAAUUUUGGUUGAAAGUUGUUACUUUUAUGUGUCAUGUCAUUUCUAGUAAAGGUAUCAUGGUGGAUCCACAGAAUGUUGCAGUGGUUAAAAAGUGAACUAGGCCCACGACUCUAAUCAAUAUUUGGAGCUCCUUGGGUUUAGCCGAUUAUUACAGAAGGUUUGUAGAAAGUUCCUCUUCUAUUAUGGCCUCUUUGACUAAAUUGACUUAGAAGAAGGUGAAAUUAUCAUGGUCUGAUGCUUGCGAGGGUAGUUUUGAGAAGAUGGAAGAUAAGUUGACUUCAGCUCUAGUUUUGACUCUACCUGAAGGUAGUGAUGGAUUUGUGAUUUUUUAUAAUUCAUCCCAUACGGUACUUGGUUGUGUGUUGAUGUAGCAUGGUAGGGUACUGGCCUAUGCUUAUAGGCAGUUUAAAGUUCAAGAAAAUAAUUAUCCGACUCAUGACUUGGAGUUAUAUCCUGUGGUAUUCGUAUUAAAGAUUUGGCAUCACUAUUUGUAUGGAGUCCAUGUAGAUAUCUUUUCUGAUCAUAAGAGCCUACAAUAUAUGCUCACCUAGAAGGGGAUGAAUCUCAGAAAAAAAGAUGUCUUGAGUUCUGAAAGACUACGACAUGAGUUUUCACUACCACCCAGGUAAAGCUAAUGUGGUUGUUAAUGCUCUUAGCAGGUUAUCCAUAGGGAGUCUAGCUUAUGUGGAUGAGAAAAAAUAGGAAUUAGUGAAAGAUAUUCACUGUCUAGCCAACCUUGGAGUUCGUCUCUUAGACUUGAGGACGGUGGUGUGUUUGUGCAAGUGGUGGUGAAUCAUCCCUUGUUGUUAAAAUAAAGGAGAAGCAGGUACUAGAUCCUAUCUUAAUAAAGAUUUACAGGGAUGUGGGACAGAAAAAGAUUGUUGCUUUUGAGAUUAGUGGUGAUGGUAUCUUUAGGUUCUAAGGCAGAUUAUAUGUUCCUAACAUAGAUGGAUUGCAAGAGAUGAUCUUAGUUGAGGCUUAUGAAUCGUGUUAUACUAUUUAUCCUGGUUCAAAAUAGAUGUAUCAUGAUCUUAAGAAAAUUUAUUGGUGGAACAAUAUGAAGCAAUAUGUGGCUCAUUUUGUGGCCAAAUGCAUUAUAUGUCAAUAAGUAAAGGUUGAGCAGUUGAGGCUUGAAGGGUUGUAUCAAGAGAUUGAGUUGCUUGUAUGGAAAUGGGUGAAAAUUAAUAUAGAUUUCAUUACCGGUGUUUCUUGAUCUAGAAAUUAGUUUGAUUCAAUUUGGGUUAUCGUGGAUAGGAUGGCUAAGUUUGCUUACUUCUUGCCAGUGAGGAAUAAUUACUUGGCAAAGGAUUAUGCUAAGUUGUUCCUCUAAGAGAUCGUGAAAUUAUAUGGGGCGCCUGUUUCUAUCAUGUUAGAUCGUGGUACUGAGUUCUCAUCACACUUAUGGCAUUUAUUUCAGAGAGGUUUAGGAACUAAGGUGAGCCUUAGUACUGGUUUCUACCCGCAGUCUUAUAGGCGAGCAGAAAGGACUAUUCAUAAAUUAAAAGAUAUGCUUAGAGCUUGCGUGAUUGACUAUGGUGGUAUUUGGGUUGAUUAUUUACCUCUUAUAGAGUUUGCAUAUAAUUGUAGCUACCACACUAGUAUUGGGAUGCCUCCAUUUAAGGCAUUGUACGGUAGGGGGUGUAGAUCUCCUAUUGGGUAGUUCAAGGUUUGUGAGGCAGAGAUGUUUGGUUGGGAUUUGGUUCACCAAGCAAUGGAGAAGGUGAAGUUAUUUGGGAUGGACUCAAAAGCUUCCCAAAGUCUCCAAAAGUCUUAUACAGAUGUAAGGCGUAGGGAGUUAGAGUUUGAGGUUAGCGAUUGGGUGUUUUGAAGGUAUCUCCCAUGAAGGUAGUAAUGCAAUUUGGGAAGAAAGGGAAGCUCAUACCCUGGUAUUUCAGACCGUGCUUGGUGUCGAAGAGGGUUGGUAAGGUUGUAUAUGAAUUGGAGUUACUCUCUAAAUUGAACUCCAUUCAUUCAACAUUUCACAUUUUGAUGUUGAGAAGGUGCAUAGGUGAUCCUUCAAUGGUUAUUCCUUUGAAGUAGGUUAGUACUUCGGAUUCCUUAUUAUCUAAGAAAGUCCCGGUUGAAAUUUUGGAUCGGAAAGUUUGUUGGUUGCGGACAAAAGAUGUAGCUUUGUUAAAGGUUCUAUGGAGGAACCACAAGAUUGAAGAGGCUACUUGGGAAGCCAAAGAGGACAUAAAGUCCAAGUAUGCAUUCUUGUUACCCACUUCGGAUAAUCAUGCCUAAGGUAUGUGUUAUUCUUAACAUCUUUGUUUUUUAACUUUGUUAAAGGUAAGAGUAGAGGUAUAAGGAGUCCAAUCAUUCUAGAAAUUUCCUUGACCCAUCAUUUAUGGAUGAAUGAUCCAAGUGGGGAAGAACUGAAACAACCUAAAUUUUUGGGCCUUGAAAAUUCCUUGAGCUUCGAGCUCUCUGCCCUGGUUAGGACUGGACCCAAUGAGUCGUAAGGUGUCCUUAUGAGCCAUUGGGAUAAGUCAUAACAAAACUAGUAAGUCUGUGGCUUGAUUCUUUUCUGAUUAUGAGUGGCUCACUAAGAGCCUAAGGAUACGUUACGAGUCAUUAGGUGUAGUUGUAGGGUGUCCAGUGUAAGUCCCAAUUUGGGUUCUGUGUUGACUACGAUUGGUACUAUAAGUCGUAAGGUGCUAUUAUGAGUCCUGUGGUUGAGUUGUCUAGAUAAUAGUAUAAGAUGCCUUGGUGGUAUUGCUUUGGUUAUUACUCGUGGUGACAAGUUGUAAGGAAAGGUUACGAGUUUAUAGUUGACUCGUAAUCAAAUAGGACACUUUUUCAGUUUUUAGGUUGAAGGCACUCUAGACAUUUCCCACGUUAACCUCUUAGACCCCUAACUUAAAUCCUCCUUGAGGUUUCAUUAUCAUAUCAUUCCUAAUAAAACACUCCCAAAUUAUCUCUCAAACUCUUUGUUCAUGUUAAGGCUAGGGUUUCAAAGAAAGUGGUCAUCUAGGGUUCUAAGGGUGUAUUAUUCUCCAAAUUUCUUGGUAUUUCAAGAAUAUUACUAUUCCUUCAUUGUCAAUUUUUUAAAGCAUGUGAUUUAAAGUAUUGUUCAUGAGAUAUUGAUGUUGGGUUUUGAACUAUGGGUUCGGGGUUUUUAAUAUAAAUUGUUUAAAUGUUUUCCAUGAUAUGUAUGAAACUACUGUGCAUAAAUUGAUGGUUGGUAAAUGAAUUGGGGUGCAUAGGAAUGGUGGAUGGAAAUAGGGGUACAAAGGAAAAGACAAAUUAAUUAGUUUGGUAUGGAAAUCGAUAACAACCCCAACCCAUUUUCAUAAUUGUUUUUGGUUUAUGCAUUAUUACUUGGUUUGGUUUAUUUCUUGAAAUAAUGCAUAACACAAAUGGCAAAUUGGUUAUGGAUGGUUUUGAAAACCUUUUGGGGUAAACAAGAAUCCCUCAAGUAAUUUUAAUAAUAGAGUAUAUGGGGUACAUGGGAAUCCUCUAAGUGUUGGUUAAUGAAAUUACUUGCAAGCCAUGUUCGGUAUGACGGUACCACUUAAUAAUGCCUUAAUGUUUUUCUCCUGAAAUUGGUGGUUGGAUUAUGUGUUACAUAUUUUAAUUGGGUAAUAAUAGGAGUUGUGUUGGCUAGUCGUGAAGGUGUGAGUCCAAAGGACUAAUACUGGAAACCCAUGUUUGCCGACAUAAGGUUGGUCUUCAUGACCAUGUACUUGUUGGGUACAAGGUAAUCUCCAAGUUUAUAUUCAUAUAUAUGUAUCCUGGAGGGAAAAGGUUAUAAGAAAAUCCCCGGUUAUCUAUGAUAUCUCCGAUUUGGCUAGAAUGCACUGGGCCCAUUCAGCGGGUAACACUGGACCCAUAUAGCCCAUGGGUGGAUUUGUUACGGUAAAGUGACACAAACUCAGGUUAAAGUUUUAAAGUUCAUGCUAAGCCCUAUCCCAUCAUUAUGUCUAUGUGUAUAUAUAUCAAUGUGCAUGGAUGUGUACACGUGCUUUGGUUUGACUUGGUUUUGAAUUGAUGGCAUUAUUUUAUCCCUAUCCUUGAGUUACAUACUAGCGUUCACCCAAGCUAACCAUCUUCGUACACUGUAUCCCUACGAGAUAUAGGAACUAGCCAUACUUUUACCUCUCCUACACUGUCUAGGAUUCGGGAUCAACUCGUGAGUCAGAUUGAAGAAGUAAGCUUUAUACUUUGUUAGACCCUAUUUUAUUUUUUGGUUUAUUUCAUAUUUUGACUAUUUUUUGGACUUGGUCUUAGCUAUGAUCGGAGGCAUAUCUCGACUGGAUAUUUUUUAUUUUUUUUUUACCCUUUCUUGGACAUUACUAUGGACUUGGGUUCGGAUGUUGGUGGUUGUUUAAAUACUUAUAUUGGAAUCCUUGAACUUUAUUCUUUAUCUCGUUAUAUUUUCUGAAUUCAUCCGACAUGGGAUGUAAGGUGCUUUUUGUUCGAGAAAAUAUGGGGUGGCCUUCGGUACUUGUUGGACUUGAGGUACCUGACGCGGCCAGACCCUGGUUUGGUUCGAGUCAGAUUGGUACCAGAGCCACUUUUGUGUCAGCCUUGUCGAUGAAGUCCAUAGUUCAAAUGAGUCCAUACGAAGGUGUCUAUGUAGCAGCCCAACUUAGGAUAAGGAGUCCCACAUUGGAAAAACACAAGAGAGAUGUUGGGUUUAUAAGUAAGCAAGUCUAACUCCCUAGUAAUGCAUUUUAAAGCCAUGCAGGCCUGGGCCUUAAAGCAAACAAUUUUAAUAGUGGGUUAGGCCAGUUCAAUUGGUACCAGAGCCUAGGUUCAUGGUCAAUUGGGUGUCCAAAUAUCCAUGUCAAGUAGAGUCUCUUUUAUGGGUGUGUAACACGCCACACUUAUAAGAGAGAGGCUACAAGGCGUUUAGGAAUAUUUCCCUUUCUUGUUGUUCUAUUUUAAUCUGUAGAGUCUAAGGUCUUGAAUCUCCUCUAAUUCCCAUUUGUUUCCUUUUAAGAUCAUGCCUCCUAGAUAAUCUAAAGCUCAUGGAAACUCUUUUGUCCCACUUGAGGAUAAUAUUGAUGGGACAUACCCUGCUUAUAGAGUACGAACCUGGUCUAAGGGUCUAAUCCUUGAUUGCCCUUAUGGAGUUCCAUUGGUCCCCUCUAUUCCUCCACGAGCUCCUUAGGAUGAUGUGUCAAAUGUAUAAUUUCUUCAACCCAUUCAUUUAUUAGCUCAGUUGGUAAUUUUUUAGUCCGAGCGUGUAGCUUCUGUUACUCCAUCUUCUGGGGCCACAAGGGUUAGCUAGUUUAUGAGGUUGAGUCCUCCUGUGUUUAUUGGUUCUAAAGUGUAGGAAGAUCCUUACAACUUUAUCAAUGAGAUGGAGAAGAUCUUUUGGGUUAUGCAUGAUUCGGAUGUUGAGGGUGCAGAAUUUUGUGGUCGAUUGCAUCAUGGUUUCUGUGAUGAGGGGAGGACAGGUGCUUCAAGUGUGGUCAGCCAGGGCAUAUGCUUACAAACUGCCCCAUAGGUAAGUUUCCUUCUAGAGUUAAUAAGGUUCUUGUUGCUUCUUCAUCAUCUCCUACACCAAAGGGUGUUGCUUCUGCUUCUGGUACCGGCACUGGCUGAAAUCAUCUGUACACCCUUGCUACCCGUCAGGACUAGGAGGAAUCUCCCGAUUUUGUCACAAGAAUGUUAUGUCUCUUUUCUCAUGAUGGGUAUUGUUUACUUAAUCUGGGGUCCACUCUUUCUUUUGUGACCCCAUUUGUGGCUAUAUAUUUUGGUUUUGGUCCCGAGUGUAUUUUGGAUCCUUUUUCUAUUUCUAACCCGGUGAGUGACUCUGUGGUUUCUAGAAGAGUCUAUAGGGGUUGUGUGGUGUUUGUUGGUGGCAAAGAAACUUUGGUGGAUUUUUUUAAAUUAGACAUGGUUGAUUUUGAUAUUAUAUUAGGGAUGGAUUGGUUGCACUCGUGCUAUGCCUCCUUAGAUUUUUGAACCCGUAAGGUCAUGUUUAAAUUCCUUAAUGAGCCGGCUGGUCAUUGAGUGGGAAGGUGGUUCUGUAGUGCAUCAGGUAAGAUUCAUAUCACUUAGAGCCCGGAAAUUGAUUUUCAAAGGUUUCUUUUACUAUUUGUCUAGGUUAAAGAUUCUAACUCGAAGGACCCUUCCUUACAAUCCAUUCCCAUGGGUAAUGAAUUUCCUGAGGUUUUUCUUGAUGAUCUUCUUAGUAUCCCUCUCAAUAGGGAGAUUGAUUUUGGGAUAGAUCCCUUUUCGGACACUCGCCCUAUUUUUAUCCCUCCUUAUAAAAUGGCUCCAAUGGAGUUGAAGGAGCUUAAGUAGCAGUUAAAGGAUCUCCUAGAUAAAUUUCUAGGAUGUCUCUGUGGGGUGCUCUGAUAUUAUUCUUGUGUAAAAGGGAUGGUUCCCUUCUGAUAUGUAUUGACUACCGGCAAUUGAAUAAGGUCACGGUAAAGAACAAGUAUCCUCUUCCUUGGAUUGAUGAUUUGUUCAACUAGUUCAGGGCGCUAGAUGUUUCUCUAAGAUUGAUCUUCGGUCGGGUUACCACCAGCUAAAGAUUAGGGAGGUGGAUAUACCUAAGACUAUCUUCCGAACCCGGUAUAUUCAUUAUGAGUUCUUAGUCAUGCCUUUUGGUAUGACUAAUGUCCCGGCGGAAUUCAUGGACUUGAUGAAUAGGGUCUUUUGUCAGUUUCUGGAUUUGUUCGUUAUUGUGUUUAUAGAUGAUAUUCUGGUGUAUUCCAAAAGUGAGGUGAAUCAAAUACCAAUAUUCAUGACUCCUCUCUGGCACGUCACUUGGUAGAAUGUCUAUAAUGAUGCACGGGUCAGUGUUUCCAAUAUUUACUUAGUGGUACCAAUGUUUCAAAAGUGCAUAUAAUAUGAGGAUGCAAUACUCGCAACUAACCAGAAUAAGAGAUCUUAAUAAACAACCAAAAUGCCAACCAUGUGAGCCAAAUUCACUCAAUACUCACAACAACCCAUGAAAUCAACAUAAUCAUAUACCAAUAGAGAAAAUUACACAAUAAUAAGCCAAUGAUACCUCAUAUAUUGCAAUUUAGGCUUUUCACUAGAUAGAUACCACCAAAUACACAUACAUAAAGGACAACAACAUCAUACAAGACCCCAUACAAUCGCACAUAGCACAUAGUGUCUCAAAAUCGCUAAUUCACAACAAUAUAGCCUCCCAUAUGGGCACAACACAAUAAUGUAGUAAUUUUCAUGAUUUGGUUCCCACACCCUUAACAUAAUUUUUAUAUCCAUAUUAACUACCCAGCCCAAUUUGAAGAAAUCUAAGCCAUAAUGUACCUCGAAUGACAAAAUCAAAACAAAUAAGCCUUUAUCAACAAGCUUCCACCUCAUGCACGGACCCAGAAUUAUCUGCAACACACAAAUAUAGAAUUCACGCAUCAAGAAAGAUCUAAUGAUAGCUAUAGCUCCCACUUUUGAAUUCGGUUCAAAUUGGACCCCUGAAACAUGUUUUUGCAAAAGAAAGGUAAAACCAAAAUUUUAGUCCAAAUCAUAUUUCCAAAAUUAAACAAACUCCUAGGAUAAAACCCAAGCGAAAAUAGGUUAAAAUUGGGGUUUGAAUCGAUGAAAUGCUAUGUUGGGGCUUUCGAUCCAAAAUCCCCAAUUUCAACUUUUAGAUCAGAGUUUAAACAAGAUUUAAAUGAUAAAAUCAAAGAAAAAUAGUUGAAAUAGGAGUUUGGAGCUUACCCAAGCUUGGAAAUGGAGUAAAUAUCCUAAAAGCCCUAAAACUCAAAGCUCCAAGUCUCAAAAAUGGCGAAGAAAAUGAGAAAAGAAUUUUAUUUACCCAGGUGACGCUAAAGAGGUCAAGUAUCCCUUUAGUGGUCACUGCUAAAGCCAUUAAGUACCUCUUUAGCGAUACCCACCAAUGCAUACCAGUCCACUAAAGCGGACAAACGCCAUUUUAGCACCUACCGCUUAAGCGGAUAGUGCACCGCUAAAGCUCUCUUAUUCAACUGUACCCGACAUCUAUAGCAGCCAAGAGAUACUUUAGAGCCAUUCCACUAAAGUGGACAACAUGGCACUUUAGCGGUUGCACCAGCUAAGUAAUGCACGAAUUGUUGAGACUUGAAAAUUUUCAAGUCUAUACGGAGCCCUCGAGAUUCAUUUGGAAUAUCGAAAAUGCAAAUAAACUAUGCUACCCUAUCAAAUUCAAUGAUCCAGACUCAAUGGCAAUAUUAGAAUUUUUAAAAAAAAUAUUAUUUUUGCAUAAUUGACCCCCGAAACCUAUUUCACAACUUUUCAAAGGGAGGAUCAAAAUAAGAUACAAAAAAUCAUAAAACCACACCAACCAUGUUACCAAACUAAAAUUGAUGCUCCAAAUCUGCUGGCAUAUUCCAUUUUACCAUCCAAUGCACAAAUUAAAAAAUGUUGACCAAAGUCAACUAAUAAGCCUUUAAGACCAUCAAAAUCAUAAUCUCGCAUAAAUUACUUUAAAAUAUAUUGGUAAUUAUGCCAGUCAUCCCCAUACCACAAAAAUACCAUAAUGCAAUCAAGAAAAUGGGUAAAAUAGUCAAAGUACAUAGAAAUAAAUAUUUCACAAAAUUUAACAAAAAUCAAGUCAUAACAGCUUUAGUGAAGGCCAAUAUAGCGGUCUGUAUUGCCCUAGUGAUCCACUUUAGCGGCAGGCUAACUGCUAAAGUGCAUGUUGCUUAAGGGCCACCUUUUUUUAUUUUGUAACAUACCAGGCAUAGGCAUAUACUACUUUAGCAGCACUUGGUCUCUUAGUGCUGACCUCUAAAGCGUCUCGCUGCCAGCUUUAGCAGCACCCGAGAGCCAUUUAAUGCCCAAUUAGCUUGAUUUUCUCCUAAUUUUCACACAAGUUCAAGAGUGUAAAACCCUAUAAAGUGUGAAAAGUUGGGAUAAAUAUUAAUAGUUAAUUUUAGGGUGCUUGAGAGCUUGAAUUACUUGUUUCUUCUAUAAAUUCCUGGAAACUUUUCAUUAAUUUCUUGAUUAAACUCUUAAUAAUUUCCCAAAAUCUCUAGACUACUGGUGGGUUGAUUUUAGCAUCAUAUGAGCUCUAAAUUUACCCAUUAUUAAGGGUAAAUGUUCCUUGAGCAUAGAGGAACAUGUUAUUGGUUUCGAAAGUGUGAUUCCGCAAGUAGGCCCCAUAGGGAAUUUUUAUGUAAUUUUGGAUCCAAAGCAUGAAAAUGCAUUAUGGUAUCAUUGUUCCUGUAUUGAUUAGUAGAUUAUCAUUUUGUUAGCAUGGCAUCUUAUGGAGACACCUUGGAAGGAAAUUCACCGUUUUAUCAAAUUUCACCAGACUUUCUUCCACGUCCAAGUAGGCUAGGUUUGCCUUUCUCAUAGAUUGGGAUAAUUUAUAGUAUAUUUAUGAUAAUUCACUAUAUAUGGGUUGUAAAUUAAGUCUUCGAAGUAUAUUUAGUAUAAUUUAGAUCCCUUAGUCAAUUUAAGAAUUGUAAAAUUGCCAUAAUUGACAUAGUUACUCAUUCUUAGGGUAGAAUUGAUAUCUUAGGAUAGAAAUAUGGCUUAGUUAAUAUCUAGUAGUGAACUUAUAUGCCUUCUACUAGUUUGGAUAGAAUUUUCCUUAGAAUGUACCCUCCGACCCAUCUUAGGCCAAGGCUAUCAUUAGCUUCUUAUAGACUUAUUACGCGUGUUAUAUCUUUCAAUGCAUAUUUUAGAGUUUGAGGAGGAUAGAUUCAUGAUACAUAUGCUAGAUUGGUACUUGUGAGUUAAUACUAGUUCUAGGUCAAGUCCGGUAAUUUAGGAUUUUGAGUUCUGGUUUAAGUCUAACAAUUGAUUAUAUAAGUUCUGGUUCAAGUCUGGCAAAUGAUAAUGAUAUGAGUUCGAGUUCGAGUUUGGUAUUAAGAGGUUAUUCAUGAUAUGUUUAUGUUAUGGAAGUAUUCAUGGUUAUGGCUUUGAGAGGUGGUUAUUUAGUAUAUUUUUGGUUAUUUUUUCUCUUGAUUACACCCUUCGGGCAUAUAGGGCCCGCAUUGGAUUAUUUACUUUUCUGUACUUACUAGUUUAUGGGGGUCAGUUUUACAGUGAUAGUUAUGCGUUCUUUUGUGUUAUUAUUAUUUUGGAUUGUAUAUUUACUUACUUAUAUCAUUCAAAGCAUCAUUCCAGGUAUGUCAUUUUACUUGACUUAGCUUAUUUAUUUUACCUCUUUAUUAUAUUUAUAUUAUGAUUUACCUCAGUUAGUCGAUGAUGCCUAUUGACUACUGAAACACCUCAAACUUUGCCCUUUGCAAAAUUUUUUGAGCCUUCAAUAUUAUAUGCAUUAUAUGACUACAUCAUACCACACGUAUAGAGCGGAUAUGAUUUGAAGUCCUUGGUCAUAUAAUGGUUAGUAUCACAUUGUCCAAGUUUUAUUCUUGGUAUAAGAAGGUAUCAUACAAUCCGUAUGUUAGGGUACAAGUAGUAAGGUCCAAAUUGUAUGUUAAUUAAAGUGUUCUUGAUCACAUUUUACAAUACAACUUGAGUGGGUACUAGUCAUAUGAUAGGGUACAAUUCAUGCUAAGGAGUCGUAUAUACGAUAGAUUAUGGUGUCCAACAUUCUGAUCAACAUACGAGUGAAGGCUACCACUCAUAUGAUGUGGGUACGAGUGGAAGGGUAAACCAUACCCUCCUGCACAUAUUUUCCAAUUUUUUAAGAUGGGGGUAUUUCGGACAUUUCCCACCCCAAAACCCUUAAGACCCCAUGUCUUAUAACAUACUAUAUCCUCUCAUAACAUACUUUAAAGGAUCAAAACACUCUCAAAAUCCUUUCUAAACUCUCUCUUGAAGAUUGGGCUAGGGUUUCUACAAGGUCUUCAUCUAGAGGCUCAAGAGUCAAGUUCCUUUUGUGAAUCUUUAUGAAUAAGGCAUGUGACUCUUCCUUCAUUGUUAGUUCUCAAAUAUAAUAUGUUUUAAAGAUUUAUUAUGAUUUAUUAUUAGUGGUUUUAAAAACCAAUGUUGAGGGGUUUGUUGCAUAUGGUCGAGUAUUGUUUACUCAUGGUUUAAAUUGUGUUUGGACAUGUUUUUUGUGAUGGUUUGCACAUGUGGGUGCUUGGUAAUUGUGGAUUAACAAAUGGGUCAUUGGUAAACCUAAACUUGAUAGUUUUUACCUUAGUUUUGGUCUUGGUAAUGGUAUGCCCUCAACGUAUUUUUGAAAAUGUAUAAGAGAACAAACUAGUCACAUGAUGAAUUAGGUUUUGAACUAUUGUUUGGAAUAAGAAUGUUAAUGAAUGAUAAACCAUUUUGUAAUGGUUUUAAUGACCAUAAAUUGAAUUGAAAUGUGUUUAGAACUACGGCAUUGGCCUAAUAAUGUAAAUGGUUAGUAAAAGGUUUCAUGAAGGCCUUGUUGGACAUAUAUUGAUUUGAAUUGUAAUCCUGGUGGUUUAAACGACAAAAUGGAUUCAAGCCCCUAAAUUUUGAAUUGAAUUGAUGACUUUUUAUAGACAAUGGGUUUGAGUACCAAAGUCAAAUAAUAAUGGUUAUGGCAUGUUAUUCGCUUGCAAGCGGGUUGGUAUAACGAUACCAAUGGGAUGCCUUUAGUAAGUAACUAGACUAAUGGUUGUGUGUAUAUGUAAAGAAUGUUUUAAUUAGGAUUUAAAGUAGGAUAUGUAGCUGAGCCAUGAAAGUGGAGUCCGAAGGACUAACACUGGAAACCACACUAGCCGGUGUGAGUGUCUAUAUGGUUAGGAGGUUCGAGUCCCUUGAAUGGAUAUAUAAAUAGAAGGUUCGAGUCCCCUAUGUUGUAUAUGUUUGUUCUACAUAACAUUGAUAAUGUUGAGAGGUUUGAGUCAUUCAUAAUGGCACGUAUGGAUAUGGAUAUUCUCUGGUUUGUGCAGCUCCACACGCUGGGGCCCUUCCAUCUAGGGAAGAAUUAGACCCAUUUAGCUCGUGGGUGCCUUGUUUUAUAAUGGUUAUGCUACACAGCCCAGGUUAGUGUUCUCAAAGUUCAUGCUAAGUCGUGUCCCUUAUCCCAUCACGGUAAAUAUAUAUAUUUAUCUGAUUUAGACUUAGUACUACAAAAUGGCAUUAUUUUAUUUCUUUAUCCCGAAGUUACAUGCUAGCGCUCCAAUUGCUAACCGACUCUGGACGUUGUAUCCCUAAACAAUAUAAAGACCGGAGCUUCUUCUUCUUUUUCUGUGUAGUGACUAGGUGAUCCAGUGGUUUGUGAGAUCGAUAUUGAAGUGGUGAGCUUUCAUGCUUUGGAAGGCAUUCAUUUUAUGGUCCUUUAAUCUUUGUACUAGACUAGUCUUAGACAUUGUUUUUGGCUAUUGUCGGUGGUAUGUACCGACAUACUAUUGACUUUGGUUUUGUAGAGGCUUUGUGGAUUAUUGUGGACUUAGGUGUGAUAGUUUAGUAUGUUGUUUGAUGGAUUUACUUAGAUACUUUAUGAGAUAUUAUUAUACUUAUUUUUAUCUAUCUUGCUAUCUAUUCGGAAUUCAUACAACACUUAUGGUAAUAUAUUGGUUAGGUUAGGUUAAGAGGGUGAUCUUUGGUCUACGUGGGACUUGAGAUACCCAUCACGGCUAGGCCUUGGUUUGGGUUAUGAAAAAGUUUGUAUUAGAUCCUAGGUAUAUGGUCAGUUCGGUGUCCACAAAGUCGCAUCAAGUAGAGUCUCUUUUAAGGAUGUGUAGCAUGCCACUUUUAUAAGAGAGAGGCUAUGAGACAUUUAAGAAUGUUUCACUUUCUUGUUGUCUUACUUUAAGCUAUAGAAUCUAAGGUCUUGGAUUCUUCUAAUUUAUGCUCGUUCAUCUUUCAGAUCAUGCCUCCAAGAAGAUCUGAGGUUCAUGGAAACUCCUCUUUCCUAACUAGGGACAAUGUUGAUGGGCACGCUCUACUUUUGGGGUCUAGACCAUGUCAAAGGUCACUGCAUCUGAUUGUCCUUGUGGGAUUACACAUGCCCCCAGGAAUCCUACUCUUGAGGGAGAUACUCAUACUCAGUUACCUCAAGAGAAGGAUACUAAUGUUGAGUUUCAUCUCUCUAUUAAUCUGUUGAUUCAAUUGUAGAUUCUCAUUCUGAGUGUGGUAUGUCUGUUACUCCAUCUUCUAAGGCCACGAGAUUUGGUAUGUUCAUGAGGUUGUAUCUUCCUAUGUUUAUUGGUACAAAGGUUGAAAAGGAUUCUUAAAUUUUCAUUGAUAAAAUAGAGAAGAUAUUUUGGGUUGUGCAUGCUUCAGAGGUUGAAGGUGUAAACUUUGCUUCCUACCAAUUGAAAUAUAUGACAUACCAAUGGUACGAGGAAUGGGAAUAUUCAAGAGAUGAAGAUACUAGUUUGGAUGUAUGGGAUGAUUUUUCUAGUGCAUUUCUAGACUAUUUAUUUCCUUAGGAGUAGAGGGAAGCUAAAGCGAAAGAAUAUGUUAACUUGAAGCAAGGAAGGAUGACAGUCAAGGAUUAUACCUUUAAAUUCCAUUAAUUAUUUUGAUAUGCUGUUGAAUUAGUAUCUAAUAUGAGGGACCGACUGAGAAAGUUUGCUUUGGGAUUGUCUCGUGAGUUGAUCCUUGAGAGUAAGGCAACCUUGUUGAUCAAGGAUAUGGACAUCUCCAAAUUGGUUAUGUAUAUACAACAGGUUGAAUAAGAGAAAAAGAAAUAGGCUAAGAUUGGUGAGAGGUAGAGUAAAAGGUCUUAAUUUUUAGAACAAAGUGGUGGGCCAUUAACUGAGUGAAAAGUGGCCUAAUAGGAAGAGUUAGAAGAGUCCUAAUUCCUAUUCUAUGGCUAGUGCUCCCUACCCAAAGCCAUCGGGAGAUAGAUUUUUUCAGGAUGGUGAUGCUUCAAGGACACAAAGUGUCUAAUCUCAGGCCAGUCGGGCCUAAUCAGUAUUGUUCUACCCUUCUUAUAGAUUUUAUGGUCAGCAUCAUCGUGGUCAGUGUGAGAAGGGUAGGAACCAAUGGUUUAUGUGUGGUCAGAUUGGUCAUAUGCAAUGGGAUUGUACCUUUAGAGUUGAUUCUAGUGCAAACAAGGUUCAUGUUGCCUCUUUAUCUUCUCCUGCACAAAAAGGUGCCACUUUUGGCUCCAGAACAGGUCGGAACAACCUUUACGCUCCACUACUUAUUAGGAAUUUGAGUCAUCUUUAGAUGAUGUUACCAAUAUAUUAAAACACUUUUCCCUAUUUAUGGCUAUGCAUUUUGGUUUUGGUCCUGAGUGACUGUUGGAUCCUUUUAUGUUUCUACCCCGAUAGGAGGCUCUGUAGUUGUCAAAAGAGUCUAUAGAGGGUGUGUGAUAGUUGUUGGUAGUAGAGAAACUCUAGUGGACUUAAUAGAGUUAGACAUGGUUGAUUUUCAUGUUAUUUUGGGGAUGGUCUGGUUGCACUCGUACUAUGCUUCCUUACAUUGUAGGACCUACAAGGUCGUGUUUAAAUUCCAUAAUGAGUUGGUUAUUGAGUGGAAGGGUGGUUCUGUAGCUCGUUAGGGGAGGUUUAUAUCGUAUCUUAGAGUUCGGAGGUUAUUAUCCAAAGGGUGUCUCUAUCAUCUGGUCUGGUUUAAAGACUCUAACUCGAAAGGUCCUUCCUUGCAUUCAGUUCCAGUGAUAAAUGAGUUUCUUGAGGUCUUACCUGAUAAACUUCCUGAUAUCCCUCCCGAUAGGGAGAUUGAUUUCGGUAUUGAUCUCAUUCCAAACACUCAUCAAAUUUAUAUUCCCCGUAUCAAAUGGCUCCAGCUGAAUUAAAGGAACUCAAGGAGCAACUAAAGGAUCUCUUAGACAAGGGUUUCAUCUAUCUUAGUAUUUCUCCGUAGGGUCCACUAGUGUUGUUUGUUUGUAAGAAGGAUGGUAUCUUUGGAUGUGUAUUGGUUACCAGCAAUUGAACAUGGUGACGAUAAAGAACAAGUAUCCCUUUUUGAGAAUUGAUGAUCUCUUCGAUCAGCUUUUAGGGUGCCAAAUUCUUUUCCAAGAUUGAUCUUCGAUCUGAGUAUCAUCAGCUAAAGAUUAAGGAGGUAUAUAUCCCUAGCACUACUUUUCGUACUCGAUAUGGGCAUUUUGAGUUUUUGGCUGUCUUUUGGAUUGAUCAAUGCCCCAACGGUAUUCAUGGAUUUGAUAAAUAGGGUCUUUCAUCAGUUUCUAGAUUUGUUCAUCAUUGUUUUGAUCGAUGACAUAUUGGUGUACUCUAAAAAUUAUGAGGAUAAUGUCUAUCACUAUCGUCUUGUGUUGCAGACCUUGAAAGAUCAGCAAUUGUAUGCUAAGUUCUCCAUGUGUGAUUUCUGGUUGAAUGCGAUACAUUUUUUGGGCCAUGUUGUGUAUAGUGAGGGGAUUAUGGUAGAUCCUCAAAAGGUUGUUGUGGCUAAGAAUUGUCCUAGACCCAUGACUCCAACCGACAUUCAAAGCUUGUGUUUAGCCGGGUAUUAUAGGAGGUUCGUGGGGAGUUUUUCUUCUACUGUUGAUCCAUUGACCAACUUGACUCAAAAUAAAGAAAGUUCUUAUGGUCUGAUGCUUGUGAGGAUAGUUUUGAGAAGCUAAAAUAUAAGUUGACUUCAGCUCUAGUCUUAACUCUACCUAAGGGUAAAGAGGGAUUUGUAGAUUAUUGUGAUACAUACCGGAUUGGUCUAGACUAGUUGUUGAUUCAGUAUGGUAAGGUAGUUGCCUGUGCCUUUAGGCAGUUGAAGGUUCUUAAAAGGAGCUAGCUGACUCAUGACUUAGAUUUGUUAGUUAUGGUGUUCACGUUAAAAAUUUGGCAUUAUAAUUUAUAUGGGGUGAAUGUUGACAUCUUUUUUUAUCAUAAGAUCCUACAGUAUGUGUUCACUCAAAAAGAGCUUAACCUCAGGCAAAAGAGAUGGCUUGAGCUUCUCAAGGACUAUGAUAUGAUUCUUCACUACCAUCUAGGUAAAGCUAACAUGGUUGUUGAUGCUCUUAGAAGGUUGUCCAUGGGUAGUUUGUUGCAUAUGGAUAAGGAUAAAUGGGAGUUGGUGAAGGAUAUUUAUCGUAUGUCUAACCUUAGAGUUCGUCUCUUAGACUCUAAGGAUGGUAGUUUGUUAGUGUAGUAGGUAGCGUAGGCAUCUCUUUGUUUGGAAAUAAAGGAGAAGUAGGUGUUAGAUCCUCUUUUCAUGAAAAUCAAGUAUGAUGUGGUAGGCAAAAGGUGAAGGUUUUUGACAUUAAUGGAGAUGGUAUCUUUAGGUACCAAGAAAGGUUAUGUGUUUUGGAUGUGGAUGGGUUGCAAGGCAGGAUUUUGGCCAAAGCCCAUGAGCAAUAGUUUAUGGUUCAUCCCUGUUCGACAAAGAUAUAUCAUAAUCUCAAGGAGAUAUAUUGGUGGAAUAAUAUGAAAUGGGAUGUGUCCGACUUUGUGGUAAGUGUAUGGUAUGUCAACAAGUGAAGGUGGAUCACUUGAUGCUUGGUGGGUUGCUUUAAGAGAUUGAAUUAUCGGUGUGGAAAUAGGAGAUAAUUAAUAUGGAUUUUGUUGUUGGCCUUCCGCAGUCACGAAAUUAGUGUGACUCUAUUUGGAUCAUCGUGGAUAGGAUGACUAAGUCCACUCACUUCAUACCCAUGAGGACUAAUUUUUCUGUGAAGGAUUAUGCAAGGUUGUAUCUUCAAAAGGUUGUAAAGUUGCAUAGUGCUCCUGUCUCGAUUAUCUCUGAUCAUGGUACCCAAUUCUCAUUGUAUUUUUGGUAUUCUUUCCAGUGUGGUUUGGGGACUAAGGUGAGUCUUAGUACGACUUUUCACCCAAAGUCAGAUGGGAAAUCCCAAAGGACCAUCUAGACUUUAGAAGAUAUGUUACAAACUUGUGUGAUUAAUUAUGGUGGUAUUUGGUUCAACCAUUUACCUUUGAUUGAAUUUACUUAUAACAAUAGUUACCAUUCUAGUAUUGGUAUGGCCCCAUUUGAGGCAUUGUAUGGUAUAAGGUGUAGGUCUCCUAUUGGGCGGUUUGAGGUUGGUGAAGAGAAAAUGUUUAGCCCAUAUUUGAUUCACCAAGCUAUGGAAAAGGUGAAGGUAAUUUGGGAUAGGCUUAAUACCAUCCAUAAUCAUCAAAAGUCCUAUGCAGAUAUGAGGCAAAGAGAUUUAGAGUUUGAGGUUAGAUAUUGGGUCUUCUUCAAGGUAUCUCCCAUUAAAGGAAUGAUACGGUUUGAGAAGAAAGCGAAACUUAGUCCUCGAUAUAUUGGCCCAUAUGUGGUUUUGAGAAGAGUUGGUAGUGUUGUAUACGAGUUGGAUUUUUCCUCUAACAUGAGUUUCAUUCAUCCGUUAUUCCAUGUGUACAUGUUGCGGAAAUAUGUUAGUGAUCCUUCAUUGAUUGUUCCUUUGAAGGACAUUGGUAUCUCAAAUUCCUUGUCUUAUGAGAAGGUCCCGGGGAAGAUCUUAGAUCAUCAAGUUUAGAGAUUACAAACAAAAUACGUGGCUUUGGUGAAGGUUCUAUGAAGGAACCAAAAGUUUGAGGAACCUACUUGGGAGGCCGAGGAGGACAUAAAGUCUAAGUAUCCAUUCCUAUUCCUAAUUCCAUAAAAUCAUGCUUGAGGUAUGUGUUGUUCUUAACACCUUUGUUUUAUAUCUUUGUUGAUAAUAGAUUUGUGAAUCUCUUGGUGUUUAUUAUCAGUCAAAAAGGUAAUAGUAGAGUUGUUUGGAGUUUAAUCUUGUUUGUAGUGCCUCGUCCCAUCACUCAAGGACGAAUGAUCCUUAAGGGGGAGAAUGAAACACCCCAAACUUUGGCCUUUGCAAAAUUAUCUAAGCCUUGAACAUUUUGUUAACCAUACGACUACAUCAUACCACUCAUAUGGAAUGGAUAUGGUUUGAUGUCCUUGGGCAUAUGUUGGUCAGUGUCACAUUGGCCAAGUUCUGUUCUUGCUAUGAGAAGGCAUCACAUGAGUCCUAUGUUAAGGUAUGAGUAGUAAGGUCCAAAUCAUAUGUUAAUUAGUGUGUUCUUGAUCACAUUCUGCCUAGGAUACGACUUGAGUGGGUAUUAGUUGUAUGCUAGGGUACAAUUCAUGCUAAGGAGUCGUAUGUUGGACAGAUUAUGGUGUCCAACAUUCUGAUCAACAUAUGAGUGGAGGGUACCACUCAUUUGAUGUAGGUAUGAGUGGAAGGGGCAACUUCCAGCACACAUUUUUAAGCUUUUAAGUUGAGGGUGUUUUGGACAUUUCCCACCCUAAAACCCUUAAGACCCCACAUAUUACAACAUAUUAUAGCCUCUUAUAACACACUUUGCGGGAUCAAAACACUCUCAAAAUCAUCUCUAAGCUCUCUCUUGAAGAUUGGGCUAGGGUUUCUUCAAGGUGUUCAUCUAGAGGCUCAAGAGUCAAGUUCCUUCCAUGAAUCUUCAUGAAUAAGGCAUGUGAUUAUUCCCUCGUUGUUAUUUCUCAGAUAUCAUAUGUUUUAAACAUUGGUUAUGAUUCAUUAAUGAUGGUUUUGAAAACCAAUGUUAAGGGUUUUGUCGCAUAUGUUGAGUAUUGUUUACUCUUGGUUUAAAUUGUGUUUAUACAUAUUUUUGGUGAUGGCUUUCACAUGUGGGUGCUUUGUAAUUGUAGAUUAACAAAUGGGUCAUGGGUAGCCCUAAACUUGAUAGUUUUUACUUUGGUUUUGGUCUUGGUAACAGUAUGCCCUCAAUGUGUUUGUAAAAAUGUCUAAUAGAACAAACUAGUCACAUGAUGAAUUGGGCUUUGAACUAAUGCUUGGUAUAAGAAUGUUGAUGAAGGAUAAACAAUUUUGUAAAGUUCUUGAUGACCAUAAAUUAAAUUGAAAUGUGUUUUGAACUUAGACAUUGACCAAAAAAUGUAAAUGGUUGGUAAAAGGUUUCAUGAAGGCCUUGUUGGCCACAUGUUGAUUUGAAUUGUAACCUUGAUGGCUUAAAUGGCUAAAUGGGUUCGAUUCCCUAAAUGUUGAAUUGAAUUGUUGACUUUUUAUAGAUAAUGGGUUUGAGUCCCAAAGUCGAACAAUAACGGUUAUGGUAUGUUAUACGCUUGCAAGCAGGGUUGGUAUGACGAUAUCAACGGGAUGCCUUUGGUAAGUAAUUGAACUAAUGGUUGUGUGUACGUGUAAAGAAUGUUUUAAUUUGGCUUUAAAAUGGGAUGUGUAGUCGGACCUUAAAAGUGGAGUUCGAAAGACUAGCACUAGAAAUCACGCUAGUCAGUGCGAGUGUCUAUAUGACCUAGAGGUUUGAGUCCCUUGAAUGGAUAUAUGAAUGGGAGUUUCAAGUCCCCCAUGUUGUAUAUAUUUGUGCUACGUCACCUUGAUUAUGUUAAGAGGUUUGAGUCCUCCAUAAUGGCAUAUACGAAUAUGGAUAUUUUCUGGUUUGUGCGGCUACACGUACUAGGGGUCUUCCAGCUAGGGUAGAUCUGGAUCUAUAUAGCCUGUGGGUGCCUUAUUUUAUGACAGUUAUGCUACACAGCCUAAGUUAAUGUUUUCAAACUUCAUGUUAAGUCAUGUCCCCUAUCCCGACAAGAUAUAUAUAUAUAUAUACAUGAUUUUGGUAGCAUAUGAUGGUUUGCCUUGAUACUACAUAAUGGCAUUAUUUUAUUUCUCUAUCCCUGAGUUACAUGCUAGCGCUCCAACCGCUAACAGGCUCUGGAUGCUAUAUCCCCAUGCGAUACAGGGACUAAAGGUUCUUCUUCUUUUUCUGCACAGCGACCAAGUAAUCUAGCAAUUCGCAAGAUCAACAUUGAAGUGGCGAGCUUCCAUACUUCAGAAGGCAUUCAUUUUAUGGUCCUUUACUCUUUGUUUUAGAAUUGGCUUAGACAUUGUUUUUGGCUAUUGUUGGGGGUACAUCCUGACAUACUAAUGACUUCGGUUUUGUAGAGGCUUUGUGGAUUACUGUGGACUUGGGUGUGAUGGUUUAGUAUGUAGUUUGGUGGAUU